Molecule: long non-coding RNA, 56736 nt
Filed under: Triticum aestivum (bread wheat)
Lineage: Eukaryota; Viridiplantae; Streptophyta; Magnoliopsida; Poales; Poaceae
Description: long non-coding RNA (TAES_LNC014562)
Source: RNAcentral
UUUUUUUUUCUUAUCAUAUUUUUUAGAAGGCAGAAUUUGAAUUAAAAAAACUACAGCUUGUUGCGAACCACGAGCACAGUGCGGAAAUCAUACCAGGGCUAGUCCAAAGACAGCCACCCUGAGGGCACAACUACAAAGCAAAAAGAGUUUGUCAAAAACAGAGCAACAUCGCCACAUCUCGACCAUCACCGGUCACAUCCGAAGACAACACCAACUUCGGGUGAACUUUCCCUGUCGACGCAUCAUCCACCCAUUAAUGCCUAAAAGGAGGUGGCAAGUAGAUGGCAGAAUUUAUCAGUCCACUAAAAGCAUCGUCUUGGAUUCACCCGCGAUGACGUACAUUGCGCCACUAAAGAUCGUCUUGGACAACGGCGAGCACCGAAAGUAGCUCAACAUGAAACCUCAAGACCGUGCCUUCAAGCACGAUGCUCCCAACAGAAUAGCGACAUAGAGGACGCCGUCAUCAUGCUGAUUCAACUCUGAACAUAGGCUUUCGCCCGAAGACCACUACCAAUCCCAGGAGCGAGUGGGCCACGUCACCCAGAUUGGCCACUUCGCCACCGCCGCAGCACUUCGCCAUCAUAGCCGUCGGGGUCCAUCCAAGACCCACACAACCAGGAGCACACAGUCCUACUACCAGCACCACCACGACCGAGAACUCGCCAAGCACCCUUGAUGCCCCGACCAUGGGUCACCGAACCGUACACCCAUCCGUUAGGCCAACUCCCAACAGACGACUGUGCCACGACCCUACAGCCCAGACAGGACCCAUCCGUCUCGCUCCGUUGCCCCCAUCUCCCAUGACCACGGAGACCAGGAGGGGAUACCCACGACGGAGGCUCGAGGAACAUGAUGUACUCGGUCGCUGCAAGCAUAUCAACUCCUGGCCGAGCACCACUACGCCACCAAGGCCAAACCGCGUCGCCGCCUUGUCCCGUGCCAUUGCCUCCAGGAGGGGUCACCGUGCCGCGACCAUCUCUUCUCGCGAGCCCCAGCCACGCCCCUCCACUUCGCUGCGAAGCUCCGCCGCGCGCCAUCACACCGGCUUCAGAUCUCGCAGCCAUCAGCUCCACGCCUCCUAUCACCGCGAGGGGCACGCCCAACGCGCGCGAGGCAGAUCCCGCCGCUGCUGGCUGCCAACGGGCUUUGCCAACCGACAUGCGCUGACGACGACGAGGGGAAGGUGAAGGAGAGGGGGCGGCGGCGGUGGUGGUUAGGGUUCCGCCCGAGCCGCCCCUAGGGGGCGACGCGGGGACAAGAGAGAGAGAGGAGAAAUGAAGUCCAUGUUAUCGGGUGUGUAAGGGGAAGCCUUCCAACUACGAAAUCCACUUGAUCCUCAAAAAAAAUUGCUAUGAAAUCCACCGACUCCAUACUUGGAACGGCAUCGAAUGGCCAACUCCACGAAGGUGAAAGAUUUAAUGCCAUUUUGUUUUGUAAAUCAUGUAUUUUGCAACAAAUUAUGGCUAUCUUUGUCACCACCAAGUGAAAAAAAGUUUCGACUCGCCCUCAAUUUCAAAGGCUCGUUCUCCCUACCAAACGCUCAACUCCCUGCCCCUACAAAAACCCUCCACGCCAUCCCAAUCUAUUAUGUAUGGUCGCAAUGCGUAUGCAUGGUGGUUUUUGCACAUGUCUUAGCUGUUACCAAAACAUGCAAAGAGUACUGCUCCCUCCGCCCGGGUUUACUAGCCCCCUCUUUUUUUUUGCCAAAAUUUGAUCAUUAUUUUUAACCAAUUAAAAUAUAACUUACAUGUCAUGAAAGUUAUACCAUUGGAACCAUUAUAUAAAAUUUAACAAUAUAUUUUUUGUAGCAUAUACUUUAUAUUUUGCUAGUCAUACAGACAGUUAAAGUUUGACAAAAUACGAGGAGACCCAAUAAACCCAGACAAAAAAAGUACGUACAAAGACAAAAAAAAGCUGAGCAUAAUUUAGAUGUCUAUAGGUUCCUUGUGGUGGAACCCGUCCAUCCUAGUUCAGGUCCUGAACUUGAUAUGUGUAAUCGUAUUUUUUCUGAAUUUAUUUCAGCCUUUUUGAUGAUAUUCGUUCAACUGUGUCCGUCAAUUAGAAAGUGUCAGCGGCGACUUCGUUAAUCUCAAAACCUAUCGUCUCAGCCUUUCGAAUGCGUUCAUAAUCAUAGGAUGUACGUGAGCGUCUUCAUAGUGAGCGUCUGCGCUUUUGUAAUAAAAAUAUACAAAACGAUAAAAAUAGGACCAUUCAGUCGACGCCGUUCCAACGAAACCUGCGUGCGAGCCGUGGCCGAUACGGGCACGCCCACGAGCCACCCACCUGUCCCGGACGGCAUCCAACAUCCACCGGAGAUGGACGGCACGGCCCGCCGGGCCCCCACAGCGCAGCGACCCAGCCACGUCCUGAACCCCCGCAUCUUGGAUUCAUCCCGUCCCAUCCCGUCCUCCCAGCCUCCACGUGCCACGUCACGUGCCUGCCCGGGAAAAAGAGAAAUGGAAAGGAAAGUUCCGCGUUCCGCCACGACACGACACGCGGGGCACGAACGGGCACGAGCCGUGCACCCCCCACCCCCCCUACGCCGCCCGCCGCUACUGCCUCCUCUACAACUACACACACAACUCGGUUCUCUCCCCCAUCCCUGGCGCUGGCGGUCGCGGUCGCGGGCUUUCGAUAGAACCGAAGGAUUCUGGGUUCGGCGACAUGGGGAUCUCGGGGCGGUUCCUCCUCCUGGCCGUGGCGCUGGUGAUCGCCGCCGCCGCGGUGGCCGCGGAUGAGCAGGCGGCGGUGGACCUGGCGGGGCCCGGGGAGAUCGCGGCGGGCGUCAAGGAGGCCGCCGAGGCGGCCGCGCUCCGGGCGGAGCUGGCGCAGCUCAGGGAGAAGAUCUCCGUCUUAGGUCAGUUCACUGCCCUCCUCGCCCCGGCCACCGUCUGAAUCGGACCAUCAGUAUUUCUAUGUGGGCGGGUGAGGGGAUUGGGUCGGGGCUGGCCGGCCGGCCGGCGGGGACGACUGGAUUCGUGCUCUGAGCUAGGUUAACUCUGUCGUACGAUGCAUGAUUGGGAGUUGAGAGUAACCCCGACCAAAUCCGCAUGGUUUCCGGCUUGGCAAAAGCCUGUGGUUUUCCCUUUAAUUAUGAAAUGAUAUUCUACUGUGUACAAGUUACCUUUUGGGGAGGAUUAUUUGGCUGCAGUGGCUGGUUACAUAUGUACGAUAAUCGUGCGCUCGUGCUUUUUUUUGGUUGCCGAGGUAAAAUUGUGAAUUUUUUAUUGGCCUGGAAUUUACUUGAAAAAUGGACGUACUUUGCUUGAAAUAAGAGGCCAAGUAACACUAGGAGUUCAAUUAUGUCUGUUGGAGGCUAUAUAUAUUUUGUCUGCACCAAGAGCAAAAUAACUUGCAUAAGCUUGGCGUGCCAAGUUAGCUAAUUUCACCAAAAGCCAUGGCAGUUGGCAGUUACUAAUUGCGCAAUAUGAAUUGCACACCAUGAUCCUUCCAGAUACCCUCAUGACCUCAUCUAAGUGAGGAGUCUGAUUGUUUUUCCUGCAGAGUCGGACAUCGCACAGAGAUCCCAGGACCUGAAGAGCAAGGAUGAUGGCAUAGCGAAGCUGGAGAAGGACAUUGGGGAGAAGUCACAGAAGAUUGCUACUCUGCAGAGCGAGAUCACAUCUCUCCAGGUAUGCAUUAUAAUAGAUAUACGGAGAUGCCUCUCAACUCUUAAGCAUUAUUUCGUGACAGUAUCUUAAACAUUACUCUGUGGCCUUAAAAAUGUUUUUUCCUUAUGCAGAAAAAAGGUUCUGUGGCUGCUGAGGAGCAGGCAGGCAAGGCCAUUGCUCGGGUUGUUGAGCUUGAGGAGCAGGUAUGGAGGAUGGAAGCUAAAUAACAGUUGAAAUUGUCGAUUAUGAGCUUGUGGUUUCUCAUCUUUGCUAUUCUAGAUUGAGAAGCUCAAUAAAGAGAUCGAAGCACAAAGUAGCCAGAGAACAACACUUGAAGCUAGAGCUAACAAGGCUGAGAAGAAGGUGCAAGAUUUGAACUCGAAGCUUGAGUCAGUAAGUGUAGUCCUUCUCUUUUUUACCAUUGGACCAUUUCCAUUUGUUAGGACCAUAUAACAUAAAUCCGUCAUUCAUACAGUAGGUUUAGGAUAACAUCUAACACUGUUUUUUUCUUUCUUAGCACUGUAUUUUCUCAUUCUCUUCUUUACUUAUGAGCUCAUGGCAAUGUAAAUAAUUGUUGAAUGAAGUCUACUACUACUGAAAAUUAAAUAAUAGUUCACCAAAUGAUUACUGAACAUAAUACCUCAAAGGUUGAAAGUCUACAUUUAAUGUCCAAAGCUAUUGAAAGCCUGUGUGUCGAAUAACCAUAGAACUGAACAAAGUUUAGUUUCUAUAAAGCUAUCCAAGGCCUGCGUGAUAAGUACCAUUGAACUGAACAAACAUGCUAGAUUUUGAUCAAGUUAUUCUUAUUUCUGAAUUUAUCCUUGCUAGCUUCAAAAGGCAAGUGGCGAGCAAAAGCGUAUGAUCCAGAAAACGGAGCGUGCUCUUAAAGUUGCUGAGGUUUGCAAUAUGCUUUCUAACUGUUACUGCACUGCCCUAUGUUGGUUCUGUGGUUUAUCUAUGUUCCAUAUCUGUUCUUUCUCAUCUCCAGGAGGAAUUGAUGAGGCUGCAAUUAGAAGCAACAACGAAGGCAAAACAGCUGACAGAGGUAAUCAUAUGUCCCAUCAUUGCAGCUUGUUGUAACAUUUUUAACCAAAAUGAUAAUUUCUGCUGAUCUACGAAGUUAUUGCUUUGUGGCAAUUCGGUCGUUUUAUUGUCAGUUCUCAACAAGGAGAACUUUCAGCAUAUCUUAACUUGCACAUUAGCUACAUGCCUUGAGAAUGCACCUUGGCAUUAUUUGUUGUGGUAUUUCAUCGGUGUGGUGGAAUUUCUGAGGUUAACUUGUAGUUACAAUUUUUCUACACUAAGUAGGAAUUGUAUGUAUCACAAUUCUAAUACCUAUAAAGGUAUCCUCUGGAGAUGAUUCUAAAAUUAGAUGACAUCUCUUCUGAUUGUGUGCACUAGAAACGAAUGUAUGAUGGUUUGUCCUUUUUCUUAGGUACAUGGAGCAUGGCUGCCACCUUGGUUGGUGACACAUUCUGCCCAAUAUUUGGUAAGAUGGAACCACAAAAUAUGCACCUCCGUCAUCUGUUUUUUGCUCACCUCAUCAGUUCCAUCAUCAUUUUGUGUAGGAGGUGGUCUCAGGUCACUGGAAUGAGCAUGGAAAACCUGCCAUGGACAUCUUUUUGCAGAAGGUACCUCUUAGGUUCUUUUUAACUUCAAAUUUCAAGGUGUAGUGCAUGAAUGAAGUCAUCAUUUAUACGUUUCUUAUCAAAUUGCUUCAGGCAUCAGAAAAAUCAGCACACGCAAAGAAAUGGGCUGAACCACAUAUCGAGACCGCGAAGCUGGUAAUGCCAUUGGAUCAAUGCAUUUUACUCCUCAAGUGUUUCUUUAUCUUGUAUUGACAAAAUAUGUUCUUGCGUUUGAAGAAAUUGGUUCCUGUUAAGGAGAAACUGGCUGUGCUAAAGAAAAACGCAGAACCUUACGUGGAGAAGGCGUCAGCAAAAUCAGUGGAAGUUUAUGAAGCAUCCAGGGAUGCUAUUACACCCCACUUUGUAAAAUUUAAAGAAGUUUCUGAUCCCUACUUCCAGGUACUGUUGGUUGGUUAUGGUAAUUACUAUUAUUACGGUAGUUUGUUAUAUGCAAUUAUUGAUGUAUAGUUUGCUUAUUGUUGAUUUAGGAAGCUAAGAAGAUCUCUAAACCUUACAUUGAUCAAGUUGCUGAGGUCACGAAGCCACAUGUUGAGAAAGUUAGGAGUACUCUUAAGCCUUACACUAAAAGAGCAGUUCAUGUGUAUGGAACAUUUCUCGAGUCUGCAACCACAUACCAUCGACAGGUUUGUGACUAUCUUCCUCAUCAUGAUAAUUCACAUUGUAUGCAUCAGCUUUUGUCCAAUGUCAGCAUUUACUAACCUUUUUUUAAACGAAGCAAAUAUUCAUCAUUUUCAUUAAUUGGAAGAGAAUUGCCCGGUUAAUUAGAGGGAAACCAGGUGAAAACCUAGAUUACAACACAGCCACAAGGCCUUCAUGGAACAUGACACCUAAGAAAGGGCACGCUCAGACGGCAUGGCCGUCAGUGUCUACUUAUGAAUCUCUGAUAUCUGAUCUUCAAAGUUUUCAGUUAGGUCCACUCGUUUCUUCUGUGCCCUACCUGGUAGCUGCCAGUCACACAUUAAUUGGCCCAUGGACCUCAUGGUUGCAUGCUUUCCUUGACAGUCUACUAAGUGUCUGAAUCACAUACAAAAAUACAAAAAGCAGAAUUCAACCUUGUGCAACUGUCAGUUUGCAUAGCCUUGUGUCUACUCUCUAGCUGCAACUUCUUGGGGUAGCUGUGUGUUCACCAGUUGGAUGUGUCCUCAGUUGCUCGCCAUUCGUGAAGGACAAUGACCUUGAGGGUGAGCCACCGUCUUGGCUUGGUUGGUUGGAGGAUUCAAAGUGGUGACAGCAUGCCUGGGAGAUGCUAAGGUGGCCUUUUAGUGUUAACUCAUGUCAUGGGUGUGUUCCAGCUAGCAAUGGAGCAGUGUCCAAGUCAAAUCAGCACAUUCCAAUUUAAUAUUGGUAGGUUCGAAACGAUAGCAAAUGUACUUGAAGUUGGUUACAAUCAAGAAUUGUCUAGUAGCCAUUGGGGAUAGAUAUCCAGGAGGCCACAGAGGCCCUAAAAUAGAUAGGGGUUGAAGUCGGAUGCGAUGGUGGAAAUGUUUUAUACAUAAAACCAUUUUCUCUUUUGUGAGUGUCAGGGCCCAGCAUGUGUGCUGAAGCAAACGCAAGUUGUGAAUCAAGAGUGAAUAAACUUGCUGGACCAUGAUUAUACUCCCUCCUUACCAUUUUGUUAGGCGUAUUAGCUUUUGCAUGCAAUCCCAAUAUGCAAGGCACAUGCAGUCGAUUUCCUGUUUGGAGUAGUUAUUAGAGGAUCUCUAAUUUCCUGGAGAUGGUCACAAGAGAUCAUGCAUGCCUCACUCUUUUUUCUUUUGAGCCAUGUAUUGUAGAGAUUAACCUUGUUGUGUCCGUAUAGGAUUAGAUUAGAAUAGUCCUAGUUGGAUAUCUAGUCCUAGUCGGAUAUCUAGUCCAUGUAUGAACGUGUAUAUAAAGCACCGGCAGGGUAGCUUUUGUAUAACAACGAAAAAAGAUCAAUAAAGAGAAAAGUUAACAGGCUCGACAGGAGCCUGUAGCUAUCACCGAAAGUCUCUCCAUCUGUUGUUUCGUUCGCUAGUUCCGCCGAAGAGCUGAAGUUGAAUCGAUCAAGUCGUUGCUAGUCCAAGCAGCUCUACAUGCAGGAGUUGCACGUACGUGUGGUAGGAUAAUCCAUCCAGCUGCUUGCGUGUGUGCUAGCUUAGCACGUACGUGUACGUUGUGAUCCUGGUGAUUUGAUCUAGCAAGAUCAAAAGCAAACAUGUAUGCUGCCUGCUAUGAUGGUUUUACUAACGAUAACUUGUGCAUUAAUUUUUGUGCUAAAACUAAUACGCCUUACAAUAUGGGAAGGAGGGAGUAAUAUUUUCUCCCCUUCUAUUUUUCAUCUAUAACUUCUGUUGCAAUAUUUUCAAAUUGAUUGUGGCCCUUUUUCAUAUGAAGUCCUACGAGUCAGCUAAUAUCUGCACCUAAUAAAUCUGUACUAGCCAAGAAGGUUCUCACUAUGAACUUUGCCAAUGUUGACUUCUAAAAGUAGUUUACAUGUGAGAAAAAUCUCAAAAUCUUUUCAUCUUGUAGGCUCAAGCAACCAUUUCAGAUUACUUGCACCAACAUGAAAUAACAAAAUCACUUGUGACUAAGGAGUUGGUUUGGUUCCUGGUAAGCACUCUUGGGAAAUAGUCAGAAACAGCAACCUCGAUGGCCAUCUAUCUGACAAACAUCCCAUAUUUUCUUUUACAGGCUUCUGCUUUGCUGGCUCUACCUGUGUUUAUUAUGUACAGGCUUCUAGUAGAUACCUUCUGGUAGUUUGUUUUACUUUCGUUAGCCAAUAUAAUUCUAAUUAUCAACGCUGCGACCUUGCGUGAACUGAUAGCAUAAUUGCCUUGAAACCUCUUGUUGACACAGCACGAAGAAGCAGAAGAGAUCGCCUCUUAAUGGUAACGGAAACAAUGGCAAUAGGAGACACAAGCGCCGACAUGCUGAGAAGUAAACUAUCGUCGGCUGCCAUGUAGGGUUGCAGGUACCAUUUCUCUCUUUUUAACAGCGGUAGAACAAAAAGUAUGCGUAGUCCUGGAUUGACUCGCUGAGAUCAUUUUUUUUGUGUGUGUGGGCAAGUCAGAUGGUGUUCAUAGUUGAUGCAUUGAUGGGCAUAUGUUAAUAUUCUGAUUUUUGCCGCAGAAAUCAGAGCAUGUCCUUCCCUGAUGAGGCUGCGCUCCUGUUCAUGGUAGAAGGAUGGAACGCUGUACACCACCAGAUUUUUUCGUUUUCCUUUUGCCCCCUAUUGUACGGACUCUAGUUUCAGCAGCGGCCUUAUGUAUCUGCAUCUUGCCGAGGUUUAAUAUGGGCUUAAACCUCGGCGUUUGUUAAUUGUUUAUUGUAACUUUGUUGAUACGCUUGAGUUUGUUUGCAGCGUGCUUUGCUAGUUUUUGUUCUCGCUCAUCGGCAUCCUAACUAUACGAGAUACGGUUGUUCUACAAUUUAUGUAAUUAAAAUCCGUACGUGCUAUGAUUUGGUGAGAUCUGCAAUCAACGUUGAGCUAUAAAUCGGUGCUAUGAUUUGGUGAGAUCUGCAAUCAACGUUGAGCUAUAAAUCGGUUCCUUGCCAGAAGAAUAAGAUCCGGCGGCACCGACCGAUUUUUGAGAUCUGCAAUCAACGUUGAGCUAUAAAUCGGUUCCUUGCCAGAAGAAUAAGAUCCGGCGGCACCGACCGAUUUUCACCUGUUGUUUCGGGAUGUCGACAAAAAGCUUGCUCAAGCCUAAUACUCGAAUAGAACGUGUCAUAUCCGUGCAAAAGAAAUAAAGGGUGAAGUGAAUGGAUUCUGAGAAUUUUCAACUUGCUCGAACGCUAUCCCUAAUUAGGACUUAACCGAAUUGAUGCCCCUUAAAAUCAUUCUUCUUCUGCCCCUGGUAAAGACGUUUUGCUAAUGCUGAAUCUCGCAAUAUUUUAAACCAAACAAGGACCAACAACAGAUCGAACAUAGGCGGCAAGGAUCCCAAUCCCAUGAGGCAGAGUAACCUUGAACAAUUCGCCUUGGAGGGGAGAGUGGAAGGGAGAAGGGUGGCUGAGCAAGGGGUUUAGGGGAGAUGGAGCGUGAGACUAUUUCUUGAUCUUUCAGUUUUAUCUUUUUCAGACCAGAAUGAGAGAACGACCCUAAUGUACUCAGAAUCGCAGACUUCAAUACUCCUGUUCCUAAAUAUAAGUCUUUCUCCGUAUGUAGUAUAUAUUAGAAUCUCUAAAAAGACUUGUAUUUAGGAAUGGAUUGAGUAGUAAAUAGUAAAGAUAAACAGAGUAUUCAUAAAGAAAUAAUUAAAACUGAAUUUUACUAAAAAAGGGCUAAAACUCGCUAUUCAAACAACCACUCAGCUAAAAUAUCAGAGGUCAAAACAUACCACCAACCACCAUCUCCCUAACAGUUUGCACGCAGCUUUAAUAUUAUUUAGAGACCACACAUGUCAGGCCUCGAACUUCUUCUUUGCAGCUAAACAAAUUUAAACCACAGAUUAAGACCUCAAACGUCUGCUGUUCUGCCAAAUGAGGGCUUGCAAAGGAAAUUCAAAUUCCAACCAGAUAAAUCAUGGAUAUUACAGAAUGGGGCGUCUUCGUCACUACCCUUCAGGUUUCAGCCAACCACAGUGAAGUCCUUGGGAGCAAAAAGCACCCUCACAUCGAAUUGGCCAUACUUCAACACCGAAUCGUCAGGAGACCUAACAGCUCCAACAGCUCUUUGCUCAAAAGUCCACCAAAACAGCGAUUCCUCCAGUUCCAAGCAAACAUCCAGUUUCCCCUUGGCCUUCACCGCGACGACAUGCUGGAGCAGCUUCUCGUCACCAGAGAACUCGCCAUCAAACAGCACAAUCUCACGAGCAAAGCCACCGAUGUAUGCGGCGAAUCGCAGAUGGUGAGGGUGCUCAACCUUUGCAAAGACCUGUAUCACAACCUCCACACUCCCUGCAAGCAACAGGUAGUCCAUGACCAGGCUGCAACGGUCGCCUGUUAUCUGCCCAUCUAUCAUCAAAUCUAAAUCAUACUGCCCCUCAAUCUCAGCAUACGCAAGAAGUAAUCGCUUGUCGGAUGAUCCAUCUCCUUCGCACUUUUCCCAAAGAUCGACUUCUAGUAAUGCCUUCUCCCAUAUGUACAUUCCACGACAAGGGCUACAAAGAGGCAAUGCAAGGGAAUCCUGCAAUUAAGCAACAUUAGUGGAUGUCAGAACACAAAGAGAUAGAUUAAUCCAUUUUUACAUACAUCAGGAGUACGUAUCGAUAGAAUAAUAAACUCAAUAAGACAUGCAUGAUCAUGUUUAAAUUAAAGUUCAGCAUUGUUUCUAAGUACAGAGCACAUAUAUUGUUUCGUUUCAUUCCAAAUGUAUGUCAUUCAUGCAUUUUUCACUCUUUCCCCACUCAUUCGUAUAUCAAGUCAACCACCUCAGCAUUCACGGUAAACAUUCACAAAUAUCAGGAAGACCGAGAAUGUCAUGAACAUCCCAACAUACCGUGCUGUUUGUUUUAUUUCUAGUCAGUAAAAUAAGCCUUACAAACAUUAAUAUGAUUAAUAUAGGAUGGCCAGUUUUGUAUGUUACUGAUGAUACAAUCAUAUCAACUUCUUGGGAUUUAAUAGCAUGUUAAGAUGACUAUUUUUGCAUGUUUCUGUAGAGCUUUGCAUCUGUUGGUUUUAGAAUCACAGUCAGACAUCUGACGGCAUGUUGAUGUAAUCAUAGAAUGCUUAACAACAUGCAACGUGAUUAGCUGGCAGGCGCUCAAGAAGAUAAUGAAAGGGGCAACAGCACAACAUACUGGGAUUAUUUAUUAGUUAAGACUCGAGACCCAGUGACCCUUUUAUCAGCCAAAAGUAGCAUUCUGACGACGGAAGGGAUAACUGAAGUCCACACAGGUAUAAUAACACCACGAGCAUAGAAAGAAGUCUAGCUUUGAUGAAUUACGUACCUGGUCAAUCACGAGAGCGUCGUCUCUGCAGGGACGGUUAAAGACAGGAUUCCGUAGUGGCUCCAAGUCAUCCCGGAUAGCAACUACUCCAUAGACACUAGCCGGAUAGGGCUCAGAGCAAGUUACUUUCAGUCCAAAGAUCUGUAUCAUCUUCCCCGGAUCACGAUACCCAAGAGUUGAUUUAGCUGCACAUACAGAGAUGGCAAAAAAUAAGUUGCUAUGUACAUACUCCCUCCGUCCCAAAAUAAAGUGUCGUUGAUUUAGUACAACUUUGCACGAAAUCUGCAACACUUAUUUUGAAACAUAGUAACAGAUUAUUUACCAGGCUAGCUAAGAAUGAGAGGCAUCAAGUACAGUAGCUUACUGCUGGAAGUAACAUGGGUUUUGUAUUCACGGUGGUGGCAGUGAUCCCUCCUGAUGCACAGGCCUGACGCCUCAGGGAACACUUUGAGAGGACAAGCGGGGAGAAGGGCAUUCUCAUCUCCACUCGCUAGAAUCUCAUUACACAUCCUCUGGUAUUCAAUGUUCCCUUUGGUGUAUGCCUCCAUCCACGCUGCGUCCACUCGCCUUGCUUCUUUCCUGGGGAAGUUCUUCCCUGAAGAAUCAAGCCAGUGCAGACUGUAGAAUCAACCUCGGUAGUUAUUUUGGGCAGAGCGUGAGUGAGCAGCGUGCUCUACCUGGGCAAUUCGUCUCCUCGUCGUCCGUCGCCAGUGCAUGCUCGUCGUCCUCGCUUGUGUACUCGGGAUCAUCGAUGUCGAACUCUUCCCAGCGGAUGACAGGUGGCUCUGAAGCUGCACGCGCAGUUGCACAAAGAAUUGAUCAGCUGUUGCACAAAGAUUAGUUGGAAAAAUAUAGAGACGCUAGGCGGUAAUACUCACUGCCCAGCAGGUAGUCACGUAUGCUAAUGUCGAGAGGCUCCCCCUCUUCUUCCUCCUCCUCCUCGCGUGUAUCAUGGGGACGCUGGGGCGUGGGACCGGGAUCUGAGGGGAGCUCGAGGCUGAGCAGAUCGUCGGGGUAGCGGCCGCCGGGAAGGGCAAGGGCAGGAGAGUGUUGCUGCUCCGCGGCCAUGCUUUAGGUCGUGAGUAGUACACAGUACGUUUCUUCCUUGGGGGCACGAGCGCACCUAUUUGUACGUGAGCAUAGCGGUCGCUAUGUGGACUCCGGACUUGAGCCGGGGCGCAUUGCAGCGGUUCGAUAGGGAGUAGUAUUAGAUCGUACUACCUCCGAAAGCGAGUAGUAUUGAAUCAUCUCAGCCGUCAAUUAGCGGGGUAGUUUUGUUAAAAAAAUUUCUUUCCUAAUUUGUAAAAAUUGCUAGCCGUGACCAUCCUCGUGCGGCCUCGUACAGUUGCCAUCGCCGGUCAUCAACAAUCGCAUGUCCAACAGUCGAUCAGAGCUAGCUUCCGUGACCUCCAAGUGGGAGCUCGAAGUCUGCUUGUGCCUGCGUCACUUGUGUGCAGCGGCCGCGGCCGCCGGCUUGAUCGCCGGAAAACAAUCGGCUGAUGCGUACGUACUUGUGUAUCAUAAAAUGAUCAAUUAAUGUAUUGUACAUACAUGGUAAUUUCCUCAGCCAAAAAGACCGUCCGGCAAGGAUCCAUCGACUAUCUACAAUCGUCGCUCUGUUGCAUCUCAUGUCCGUCGGAAAGUAUUCGGGCGAACCGGUCCUGCAGUCUCGUCAGAGCAAAAGAAAAAAACACACAGAUUUCGCAAUACGUGUAGAGUUAUGGUAUUGAUUUUGUAUAAGUCUUUUAGUUUUACCUCUUGAACAAAAUAUACUACUGAUUUUUUCUAGUAGUAUUGAUGGAUCUAGUCCAUUGAAUCACUCGAAAUGAAACUCCAUGGGCAGUAGCACCCACGGUUUUAUUGAUAUAGAAGAAGCAUCCCUCAUGAGAAUUCCAGAAAUUCGUCCCCGACGUGGAUCGAACUCUGGUCGUUAGGUUUACAAUCAUGCGCCCCCAACCACUGGGCUAUGCCAUAUUAUUUCGAAGGAUCAGCUGGUAACCUCUUUGACGUGGUGGUGAGGUUAUUAGCACACAAGGGCGUGUAGAACAAUCCAAUGACACACAACAGAUAGCAUAUUAAUACAAUUCUAAACCAUAACAAGCAGUUUUAAACAUAGUAUCACACUUAAACAUAGCAGUUUGCAAGCAAAGCAGUAUGUCAUCAUAGAUACGAAACCAGCUAGAGCAACGGAGAGCUGUCCUAGACGUUCACGGCGAAGGCAUUGUCGUGCCUCUCGCACUUGGUCACCACUUCAAUGCAUUCGUCGUUCAAGACGAUGACCUUGAGCAUGAUUGGAGUCAGCAACUUGAAGGUUGAUAACCCACAAGUAUAGGAGAUCGCAAUAAUUUUCAAGGGUAGAAUAUUCAACCCAAAUUUAUAGAUUCGACACAAGGGGAGUCAGAGAAUAUUUGCAAGUAUUAAUAAUUGAGUUGUAAAUCCAGUCACACCUGGAGAUUACUUAUCUGCAUCAAAGUGAUCAGUAGCACAGUAAUAUGAUAGUUUUGAUAGUAGUAGCAAUAGCAAUAGCAACGGUAGCAGUGAUAGCAGCAAUUUUGUAGAAAAUACAACAGUAACGAUAGCAGUGAUAACUUAGCAAGAACAAUAUAAUAGAAAUUCGUAGGCAUUUGAUAGGUAAUUUGUUGGAUGAUAUUCAUCAUGUGACAGUCAUAACCUAGGGUGAUACGGCACUAGCUCCAGUUCAUAAAUAUAAUGUAGGCAUGUAUUCCGUAAAUAGUCAUACGUGCUUUAUUAAAAGAACUUGCAUGACAUCUUUUGUCCUACCCCUCGUGGCAGCAGGGUCCAAUUGGAAACUAAGGGAUAUUAAGGCCUUCUUUUAAUAGAGAACCGGAACAAAGCAUUAGCACAUGGUGAAUACAUGAACUCCUCAAACUACAGUCAUCAUCGUGAGUGGUCCCGACUAUUGUCACACCGGGGUUGCCGGAUCAUAACAUGUAGCAUGUGACUAUAACUUGCAAGAUCGGAUCUAGAACAUGGAUAUAAUGGCGAUAACAUAAACGGUUCAUAUCUGAAAUCAUGGCACCCGAGCCCAAAGUGACAAGCAUUAAGCAUGACAAAGUCAUAGCAAUAUCAAUCUUAGAACAUAGUGGAUACUAGGGAUCAAGCCCUAACAAAACUAAGUAGAUUAACAUGAUGAAUCUCAUCCAACUCCUCAUCGACCAGCGAGCCUACAAAGGAAUUACUCACUCCUGGUGGGGAGCAUCAUGGAAUUGGCGAUGGAGAAGGGUUUGUGAUGAUGAAGAACGAAGGUCCCCCUCUUCGGAGCCCCAAACGGACUCCAGAUCUGGCCUCCGGAUGAAGAACAAGAGGCGACGGCGGCUCCGUCUCGUGGAUCAUGAUAAUUGUUUCUCCCUGAUUUUUUUUAGAAAUAUGGAAUUUUAUAGUGUCGGUUUCAGAGUCUGUGGGGCCACCAGGUAGGGACAACCCACCUGGGCGCGCAUGGGGGGAGGCAUGCCCUAGUGGGUUGUGCCCACCCAGGUGCCCCUCUCAGGUAGCUCUUGACUCCAGAAAUUCUCUUUAUUGAUAUAAAAAUUCCUCGCAAAGUUUCGUUCCAUUACGAGAACUUUUAUUUCUACACAAAAACAACACCAUGAUAAUUCUGCUGAAAAUAGCGUCAGUCCGGGGUUAGUUUCAUUCAAAUCAUGCAAAUUAGAGUCCAAAAAAAGAGGAAAAGUGUUAGGAAAAGUAGAUACGUUGGAGACGUAUCAACUCCCCCAAGGUUAAACCUUUGCUUGUCCUCAAGCAAUUCAGUUGAUAAACUGAAAGUGAAAAAGAAAAACUUUUAUGAACUUUUUUGCUCUUGUUUGCAUAAAUAAGCUUAAACAGCACCCAGCUUUUCAACCACUAUUAUAACUAACCAUGCCGACAAUAACUCUUAAAAAUUAUAUUAACUCAUACCAAUAACAUAAUCAGCUAGCGAGCAAUAAUAAGAUAUCUCAAACAACAACACGUUAUCAAAACAACUAUGAUAUAAUAUGACAAUAGUGGUAUCUCGCUAGCGCUUUUCGAGACCGCAAAACAUAAAUGCAGACCACCUCCGAAGUUGAAGCAUCGACUAAACAAUUUAAUUCAUGGUAGAAAAGAUCCAGUCAUGAUGCACCCAACAUUAGCUAUACACAAUGCAUCAGCAUGACAGCAGUGCUCUCAGGUUCUGACACUUAUUCUAGAAGGUGAUGACACAACAUAAAAGUAAAUAGAUAGUCCCUUCGCAGAGGGAAGCAGUGAUUUGCAGAGGUGCCAGAGCUCAAGUUUUUAAAACAGAUGUAAAUGAUAUUUUGAGACAUGCACCCUUCUUGUUUACUUCACGACCAUCAGUUAUCAAUAUCUUCCAUGCUAAGCAUGCUAGUGGCGGUUCCCAAGCGAUAAAAGUAGAAGUUUAAUCCUCCUCCACCAACAAUCACACUUCACGGCUUGUCUGAAACAAUGGGUGCUGUCCAUACCAACAACAGUCCCAAGGGAGUUUUGUUUAACUAUUUGGAUUUUGAGUUCGGGACUGGGAAUCCCUAUUACCGCCCUUUUCUCGUGAGAUGGUGAGUGAAUAAAAACUCAACCUGAGAAUAACCCGCUUAGCAUGGAAGAUACUGACCACCUCCUGUCAUUCGAUGAACGAUCUAGGCACACAAAAAGACCAUUUAUUUAAAGUUUUUUAGAGGUGGCACAUGCAAAUUUACUUAGGACGACAGGGUAAUACCACAUAUAGGUAGGUAUGGUGGACUCAUCUGGAAUAACUUGGGUUCAAGGUUUUUGAUGUACAAUCAGAAUUCCCACUUAGUGCAGGCGAAGGCUAGCAAUUAGGUUGAGAAGCAACCAACUAGAGAGCAACAACGGUCAUGACCAUGCAUUAUGCAUAAGUAACAUUGGACACUAGCAUGAGUAGGAUAUGAACAUAAAUAUCAAUAUAUCAUAGAGGCUAUGUUGGUUUUGAUUCAGCUACAUGCAUGCUCAUGUGCCAAGUCAAGCCACUUGAACAUUUAGAGGAGGAUACCAUAUCAUCAUAGUAUAUCACAAUCAUUUUAACGCAAUGUUGAUAUUCAAGAUAAAUAAUUAUCCACUCCUAGCUACUUAUGCAUGGCAUGAGAAACUAUAAUCUCUAAUUGUCAUUGCAAACGUGUUUAAUCGUAAUGGGCUGAAGCAUGGAUACUAGGUUAAACAUAUUUAUAAAAACAAAACAAGUCGAGUUCAUACCAGUUUCUCUCUGCCACGACUAGUUCAUCGAAUAUCGUCAUUAUUGCCUUUCACUUGCACGACCGAACAAUGUGAAAAUAAUAAUAGUGCAAGAGUGUCAUGGACGAAGCUAUAAUCUGCAAACAUUUUAUUCAAUAGGAGAAGACAAGGUACAAUGGGCUCUUUGUUAGGUAUUAUGCAUAUGAGAGCCACUUAGCAUUUUCAUCGUGGUCUUCUCCUCGGUACGACUGAAAUAAAAAGGAAAAGAAACUCAGAAAAACACACUGAAAUAUUUUUAGAGUUUUUGGUUUUCUUGAACAAGCAAAUAAAAGGGGAAAGCAAAAACGAGAAAAAAUAUUCACACGGGAAAGCUCCCAACAAGCAAAAGAAGAACAAGGGAAUAUUUUUGGUUUUCCUUUUAGUACUACAAGUAAGCAUGCAUAGAAAGUAAACUAACUACAACUAUUUUUUGGUUGUUCUAAGGUUUUUCAAACACACAAGAAGAAAGCAAGAAAAUAAAAUUAAGUAUGGAUGAUACAAUGAAAAAGUGGAGACACCGACAAAUGGAACAAGUGGACAUGAAUAUAAAGUCAGUGGAAACACGUACUCCUCCAAGCUUAGGCUUUUGGCCUAACUUGGUAGUCGAUCAGAAGCCUGGAUAUUAGUCGGCGUGGUAGCUCACGGAUCCUACUACUGAGGCUCCUCCUCCGCGGCAGCCUGGUUGUUCCGGUAGGCGAUGAUAUCUGCAGGCAUAAUCAUGUAUCCGCCCCUGGCAAUAGGAUCAAACAAAGCAGGAGCAGGCAAUGGAAUAAUAUCACGAGUGUUAAUUCUGAAGACCAGGUUAUAUAGAAUAGGAAUGUUAGGGUAAUCUCGUGCAAUAAAAUGAUGGUGAUCCGUGACCACACGAUCUAUGUAGACCUUGGGUAGAGGAUAAUAAUGAAGGCAUAUCUCAACAUUAAAGCGUGCCGCCAAACGAGUAGCAAAGAUACCACCAUGUAUUUUAUCCUUGGACUUAUUAAUAUGGAGGCGACGUGCCACAUUAGCUCCCAAGCUAUAAGUGUUGUCGCCCUCUAGUGCACGACAUAAAACAUCAAGGUCUCGUGAACUGAGUGCACCCACCUUCUCUCUAGCAAGCAAGCAUCUUGCAAUGAAAAGAUCAAAAUAAUGAACAACCGGAAAAUGCAAGCCAUCGGCAGUGAUAGCCGACACCUCUCUCUCAUCUCCCACUGUCAAGGUACGAUAAAAGGCCUCAAACUCUACCGGCCUAGGCUCUGCCAAACCACCACCAGCAGGAAGCAAGCAUAUUUCACAAAAUUCGGUAAGAGGUAUCUGAUGGGGUUCAACAUAUAAAUUGAAUUGCACCUCAGGAGGAUUAUUCCUAGGAAGGAAAUUAAAACUUUGAACAAAGGUGUUUGUGAGGAGAUGAUACUGCUCACAUGCAGUUGCGAUGAAGUCGGUGAGGCCAGCAUUAGCAUCAUAUUGUGUAAACUCUUGUAGGAUUCCAGCCUCUUCCAUGAAUGGGAUAUGCGACCAUUCGCACGACUGUACUUCCGCCAACCUCCGGUUAUGGAGAUCACUGUCAGACGACUCCCCAAUAACUCCCUUGGAGUUCUUCUUGGAACCAAACUUCCUAAAGAUAUUCAUGUUUUUCCUAUGAACAAAAAUUCUGAAUUUUUUAGUCCACAAAAUUUUCUCAACAAAACUUUACAAGAUUCAUAGCAACUACUCAUAGGGAUACAUAGAGGCCAUAGCAAGCAGUCAAACUACUUAGAAAUAUAAGAAUUCAACAUGCAAGCUCAUCUACUGCAGCACCAAGAGUAGCUAAUUGUUCAAAAUAUAAACCACUAAAACAAAAACUAAUUGGACAAAUGGAGGAGUCACAUACCAAGCAACAAUCUCCUGAAACAGUUUCGAAAAUGGAGCUUCGAGCAAAGAGAUCGAAAUCCACGGGUUUGAGAGCAAGAACAUCGGAGAGAGAGAGCAAUGGUGAAUUUUUUCUGGAGGUAGGUGAUGAUGUGGUGUAAAGAGAUAAGUGAGGGGGGCCACGUGGGGACCACAACCCACUAGGGCGCGCCUGGGGGUCCUGGCAUGCCCAGGUGGUUUGUGCCCACCUGGUGCACCUCCCUCUGAUAUUAUUUGCACCAGAAAUUCUUAAAUAUUUGAAAAAAAUUCAUAUUAAAUUUUCAGGGCAUUCUGAGAACUUUUAUUUUGGGUCAUUUUUUAUUGCACGGGAAAAUCAGAAAACAGACAAAACAUGACAUUUUAUUUUAUUUAACUAGUAAAAACAGAAAAUAAAAGGUAGGGACAGAAAGUAGUGCUUACUAAAUUCAUCAACUUCACACCUCUCAAAAAUGAUCCAUUAAUAAGGUUGAUCAAGUCUUAUUAACAACCACUUUUGAUUAGCAUGAAACCGAAGAACUUUCGUAAAUCAGUAAGUUACCUCAACGGGGAUAUGAAUGUCCCCAACAAUAAGCAUUUCAUAUUUCUUUUUGACAUCUGUUAGAGGUAGUUGAAAACUUCCAAUAGUGAUUGUCGGAGAUUUUUCAAUAACAUUAAUACCAUUCACUUGGAAUUGUUUCUUCGGAAAGUGCACCGUAUGCUCAUUACCAUUGAUAUGAAAGGUGGCCUUGCUUUUAUUGCAAUCAAUAACAACCCCUGCAGUAUUCAAGAAGGGUCUACCAAGGAUAAUCAACAUGUUGUCGUCCUCGGGCAUCUCAAGUAAACAAAGUCAGUCAAAAUAGUAACAUUAGCAACAACAACGGGCACAUCCUCACAAAUACCAAUAGGUAUGGCAGUAGAUUUGUCAGCCAUUUGCAAAGAUAUUUCAGUAGGUGUGAGUUUAUUCAAAUCAAGUCUUUUAUAUAAAGAGAAAGGCAUAACACUAACACCAGCUCCCAAAUCACAUAAAGAUGUUUUCACAUAAUUCUUUUUGAUAGAGCAAGGUAUAGUUGGUAUUCCCGGAUCUUCAAGUUUUUUAGGUACUCCAUCCUCAAAAGUAUAAUUAGCAAGCAUGGUGGAGAUUUCAACUUCCGAUAUUUUUCUUUUAUUGGUAAUGAUGUCUUUCAUAUACUUUGCAUAAGGAGGCAUUUUAAGGAUACCAGUCAAGCGAGUACGCAAAAGGACUGGCCUCAACAUUUCAGCAAAGCGUUCAAAUUCUUCAUUGUCGUUCUUUUUAGUUGACUUAGGUGUAAAGGGCAUAGGUUUUUGAACCCACGAUUCUCUUUCUUUACCGUGUUUUCUAGCAACAAAGUCUCUUUUAUCAUACCUUUUAUUUUUAGGUGGUGAGUUAUCAAGAUCAACUGGAGGUUCUAUCUCAACAUCAUUGUUUGGUUCUUCAUUAUUUGGUUGACUAUCUUCAUGAACCUCAUCAUUAUAUUUUUCAUUAUCAGAAGGUGAGUGUUCACUACCAGGUUGAGUUUCAGCAUCAGAAAUAGAAACAUCUUUGUAAUUAUCAAGAGGUUUUUCUAUUUCAGGUUCACUAGAAGCAUGCAAAGUUCUAUCAUUUUUCUUUUUCUUCUUCUUCUUUUUAAAAGGACUAGGUGCAGUGGUAUUGUUCCUUUGUGAAUCCUAUUCAAUUCUUUUUGGGUGUCCCUCAUGAUAAAGUGGUUCCUGAGUCAUCUUACCUCCUCUAGUUGCAACUCUAAUAGCAAAGUCAUGUAUAUUGUUAUUCAUUUCAUCUAGCAACUCCCUUUGAGAUCUAGCAACUUGUUCUAACUGGGCUUGAACCAUAGAAGGAUGCUUUACAACACCUCUAACAUCAUUUGAGAUUCUAAAUAACAAGUCACUCAAGCGAGCAAUCAUAUCAGAAUUCUAUUUCAAUUGUUUCAUAACAUUUGCAUUGAAGUGAUCUUGUUUUCUAAUGUAGUUUUCAAACCCAUAAAGGCAUUGGCUAGGGUGCAUAUUGUGAGGAUUGUCAUUAUCAUUGAACUUCAUUGGAGAAUUUACCUCUACCACCUUAGGCAGUGGUGGUGUAUUAAGCCCAUGUAUUUCUUCAAUAGGAGGUAAAAUUUUGACAUCCUCAACUUUAAUACCUUUUUCCUUCAUAGAUUUCUUUGACUUUUGCAUAUCUUCAGGACUGAGAUAUAAUAUACCCCUCUUCUUCGGAGCGGGUUUAAGUGGUGAUUCAGGAAGAAUCCAAUCAUCAUAAUUUUUCAGUAUGUUAUUCAAUAAUUCUUCAGCUUGCCCAACAGUUCGUUCCCUGAAAACACAACUAGCACAACUAUCUAGGAAAUCCCUAGAAGCAUCGGUUAGUCCAUUAUAGAAGAUAUCAAGUAUUUCAUUUUUUCUUAAGAGGAUGAUCAAAUAUAGCAUUGAUUAAUUGGCAAAGCCUCCCACAACCUUGUGGGGGACUCUCUUCUUUAAUUUGCACAAAGUUAAAUAUUUCCUGCAAGGCAGCUUGUUUCUUAUGAGCAGGGAAAUAUUUUUCAGAGAAGUAAUAAAUCAUAUCCUGGGGACUACACACACAACCAGGAGCAAGAGUAUUGUACCAAGCCUUAGCAUCACCCUUUAAUGAGAAUGGAAAUAAUUUGAGAAUAUAGUAAUAUCGAGUUUUCUCAUCAUGAGUAAAAAUGGUGGCUAUGUCAUUCAACUUAGUAAGAUGUGCCACAAUAGUUUCAGUUUCAUAACCAUGGAAAGGAUCAGAUUCAGCCAGAGUAAUUAACUCUGGGUCAACAGAGAAUUCAUAAUCCUUAUCAUCAAUAAAGAUAGGUGAAGUAGCAAACUUAGGAUCAUAUUGCAUUCUAGCAUUCAGAGAUUUUUCUUUGUACUUGCAUAAUAAUUUCUCCAGAUCAUCUCUAUCCUUACAAGCAAGAAUGUCUCUAGUUGUCUCUUCAUUCAUAACAUAGCCUUCCGGCACCUUAGGCAAUUCAUAUCUAGGAGGGCUAGUUCUAGUAGGUGUUUCAAGAUUUUCAGUUUCAAGCUCAUCAUCAGACUCAACAACAUCAUGUUGUCUUACUCUAGCAAUUUGUUCAUCAAGAAAAUCACUAAGUGGCACAUCAUUAUUAUCAAGCUUGGUACUAGCAUCAUCAUAAGUAUCAUUCAUAGCAGAAGUAGCAUCAUCAAUAACUUGCGACAUAUUAGGAUGGAUAGCAUGCGGUGGUGUUGCAAGUUUACUUAUAACAGAAGGUGAAUCUAAAGCAGAUCUGGAUGGCAGUUCCUUACCUCCCCUCAUCUUAGAGGGAUAAAUCUUAGUCUUAGCAUCCUUCAGAUUCUUCAUAGUGAUAAAUUGAUGAUAGUCUCAAGUGACUCAACAAAUAUAGCUAUGCUCCCUGGAAACGGCGCCAGAAAAAGGUCUUGAUAACCCACAAGUAUAAGGGAUUGCAACAGUUUUCGAGGGUAGAAUAUUCAACCCAAAUUUAUAGAUCCGACACAAGGGGAGCCAAAAAAUAUUUGCAAGUAUUAGCAACUGAGUUGUCAAUUCAGUCACACCCAGAGAUUAAUUAUCUGCAUCAAAGUGAUCAGUAGCACAACAAUAUGAUAGUUUUGAUAGUAGUAGCAAUAGCAAUAGUAAUAGUGAUAGCAACAAUUUUCUAGCAAGUGCAACAGUAACGAUAGUAGUGAUAACUUAGCAAGAACAAUAUAAUAGAAAUUCAUAGGCAUUGGAUCGGUAAUUUGUUGGAUGAUAUUCAUCAUGUGACAGUCAUAACCUAGGGUGAUACGGCACUAGCUCCAGUUCAUAAAUAUAAUGUAGGCAUGUAUUCCGUAAAUAGUCAUAUGUGCUUAUGGAAAGAACUUGCAUGACAUCUUUUAAUAGAGAACAGGAAAAAAGCAUUAGCACACGGUGAAUACAUGAACUCCUCAAACUACGGUCAUCACCGGGAGUGGUCCCAACUAUUGUCACUCUGGGGUUGCCGGUGAAGGCUGCCCUAGAGGCAAUAAUAAAGUUGUUAUUUAUAUUUCCUUAUAUCAUGAUAAAUGUUUAUUAUUCAUGCUAGAAUUGUAUUAACUGGAAACUUAGUACAUGUGUGAAUACAUAGACAAACAAAGUGUCACUAGUUUGCCUCUACUUGACUAGCUCGUUGAAUCAAUGAUGGUUAUGUUUCCUAACCAUAGACAUGAGUUGUCAUUUGAUUAACGGGAUCACAUCAUUAGAGAAUGAUGUGAUUGACUUAACCCAUUCGUUAGCUUAGCAUGAUGAUCGUUUAGUUUGUUGCUAUUGCUUUCUUCAUGACUUAUACAUGUUCCUAUGACUAUGAGAUUAUGCAACUCCCGAAUACCGGAGGAACACUUUAUGUGCUACCAAACAUCACAACGUAACUGGGUGAUUAUAAAGGUGCUCUACAUGUGUUUCCGAUGGUACUUGUUGAGUUGGCAUAGAUCGAGAUUAGGAUUUGUCACUCCGAUUAUCGGAGAGGUAUCUCUGGGCCCUCUCGGUAAUGCACAUCACUAUAAGCCUUGCAAGCAAUGUGACUAAUGAGUUAGUUGCGGGAUGAUGCAUUACGGAACGAGUAAAGAGACUUUCCGGUAACGAGAUUGAACUAGGUAUUGAGAUACCGACGAUCGAAUCUCGGGCAAGUAACAUACCGAUGACAAAGGGAACAACGCAUGUUGUUAUGCGAUUUGACCGAUAAAGAUCUUCAUAGAAUAUGUGGGAGCCAAUAUGAGCAUCCAGGUUCUGCUAUUGGUUAUUGACCGGAAAUGUGUCUCGCUCAUGUCUACAUAGUUCUCGAAUCCGUAUGUAGGGUCCGCACGCUUAAUGUUCGGUGACAAUCGAUAUUACGAGUUUAUGUGUUUUGAUGUACCGAAGGUAGUUCGGAGUCCCGGAUGAGAUCGGGAACAUGACAAGGAGUCUCGAAAUGGUCGAGACAUAAAGAUCGAUAUGUUGGAUGACUAUAUUCGGACAUUAGAAAUGUUCCAAGUGAUCCGGGUAUUUUUCGGAGUACCGGCGGAGUUACGGGAAUACGGGAGUACAUAUGGGUCUUAGUGGGCUUUAGGGAAAAAAGAGGAGAAGCCACGAGGGCUAGCCGCGCGCCCCCAUGGGCCUAGUCCGAAUUGGAUUAGGGGAGGGGCUGCGCCCCCUCUUUCCUUCUCCUCCCCUCUCCUUCCUCCCCCUCCUAGUAGGACUAGGAAAAGAGGAAUCCUACUCCUACUAGGAGGAGGAUUCCUCAUCCCCUUGACGCACCUAGAGAGGCCGGCCGGCCUCCCCUCCCUUCUUUAAAUAUGUGGGGAGGGGGGCACCCUAGAACACACAAGGUGAUCAUUGAUCCCUUAGCCGUGUGCGGUUCCCCCUCCACCAUAAUCCACCUCGAUCAUAUCGUAGCGGUACUUAGGCGAAGCCCUGCGUCGGUAGCAACAUCAUCACCGUCAUCACGUAGUCGUGCUGACGGAACUCUCCCGUGAAGCUCUGUUGGAUCAGAGUUCGUGGGACGUCAUCGAGCUAAACGUGUGCUGAACUCGGAGGUGCCGUGCGUUCGGUACUUGAAUUAGUCGGACCGUGAAGACGUUCGACUACAUCAACCGCGUUCUCAUAACGCUUCCUCUUAUGGUCUACGAGGGUACGUGGAUGAUACUCUUCCCUCUCGUUGAUAUGCAUCACCAUGAUCUUGCGUGUGCGUAGGAAAUUUUUGAAAUUACUGCGUUCCCCAACAGUGGCAUCCGAGCUAGGUUUAUGCAUAGAUGUUAUAUGCACGAGUAGAACACAAAGGAGUUGUGGGCGUGGGUAUAUACAUAUUGCUUGCCGUCACUAGUUGAUUCUUGAUUCAGCGGCGUUGUUGGAUGAAGCGGACCAGACCGACAUUACGCGUACGCUUACGCGAGACUGGUUCUACUGACGUGCUUCGCACACAGGUGGCUAGUGGGUGUCUGUUUCUCCAGCUUUAGUUGAAUCAAAUUCAAUGAACAUGGUUCUUUCUGAAGAUCAAAGAGCAAUCACUAUACCGUGUUGUGGUUUUUGAUGCGUAGGUAAGAACGGUUCUUGCUCAGCCUGUAGCAGCCACGUAAAACUUGCAAUAACAAAGUAGAGGACAUCUAACUUGUUUUUGCAGGGCAUGUUGUGAUGUGAUAUGGUCAAGACGUGAUGAGAUAUAAAUUGUUGUAUGAGAUGAUCAUGUUUUGUUGAAGUUAUUGACAACUGGCAGAAGCCUUAUGGUUGUCUCUUUAUUGCAUAAGAUGCAAGUGCCAUGUAAUUGCUUUACUUUAUCGCUAUGUGAUAGCAAUAGUUACAAAAGCAAUAGUUGGCGAGACGACCAUGUGACGACACAUUGAUAAAGAUCAAGAUUAUGGAGAUCAUGGUGUCAUGCCGGUGACGAUAGAGAUCAUGACGGUACUUUGGAGAUGGAGAUCAAAGGCGCAAGAUGAUCAUGGCCAUAUCAUGUCACAUAUUUUGAUUGCAUGUGAUGUUUAUCCUUUAUGCAUCUUAUUUUGCUUAGUUCGGCGGUAGCAUUAUAAGAUGAUCUCUCACUAAAUUUCAAGGUAUAAGUGUUCUCCCUGAGCAUGCACCAUUGUGACAGUUCAUCGUGUCGAGACACCACGUGAUGAUUGGGUGUGAUAAGCUCUACGUUCACAUACAACGAGUGCAAGCCAGUUUUGCGCACGCGGAAUACUCGGGUUAAACUUGAUGAGCCUAGCAUAUGCAGAUAUGGCCUCGGAACACUGGAGACCGAAAGGUUGAGCAUGAAUCAUAUAGUAGAUAUGAUCAACAUAGUGAUGUUCACCAUUGAAAACUACUCCAUCUCACGUGAUGACCGGACAUGGUUUAGUUGAUUUGGAUCACAUGAUCAUUUAGAUGACUAGAGGGAUGUCUAUCUAAGUGUGAGUUUUUAAGUAAUAUGAUUAAUUGAACUUUAAUUUAUCAUGAACUUAGUCCUGAUAGUAUUUGCAUAACUAUGUUGUAGAUCAAUAGCUCGCGAUGUAGCUCCUCGUUUAUUUUGAUAUGUUCCUAGAGAAAAACUAAGUUGAAAGAUGUUAGUAGAAAUGAUGUGGAUUGGAUCCAUGAUCCGAGGAUUAUCCUCAUUGCCGCACAGAAGAAUUAUGUCCUUGAUGCACCGCUAGGUGACAGACCGAUUGCAGGAGCAGAUGCAGACGUUAUGAACGUUUGGCGAGCUCGAUAUGAUGACUACUUGAUAGUUUAGUGCACCAUGUUUUAUGGCUCAGAAUCGGGGCUUCAAAGACGUUUUAAAUGCCACGGAGCAUAUGAGAUGUUACAAGAGUUGAAAUUAGUAUUUCAGACUCAUGCCCAUGUCGAAAGGUAUGAGACCUUUGACAAGCACUUUGCCUACAAGAUGGAGGAGAAUAGCUCAGCUAGUGAGCAUGUGCUCAGAAUGUCUGAGUACUACAAUCACUUGAAUCAAGUGGGAGUUAAUCUUCCAGAUAAGAUAGUGAUUGACAGAGUUCUCUAGUCACUAUCACCAAGUUACUCAAACUUUAUGAUGAACUAUAAUAUGCAAGGGAUAACGAAAACGAUUCCCAAGCUCUUCGUGAUGCUGAAAUCGAUGAAGGUAGAAAUCAAGAAAAGCAUCAAGUAUUGAUGGUUAACAAGACCAUUAGUUUCAAGAAAAGGGCAAAGGGAAGAAGGGAACUUCAAGAAGAACGGCAAGCAAGUUGCUGAUCAAGUGAAGAAGCCCAAGUCUAGAUCUAAGCCUGAGACUAAGUGCUUCUACUGCAAAGGGACUGGUCACUGGAAGCAGAACUGCCCCAAGUAUUUGGCGGAUAAGAAGGAUGGCAAAGUGAACAAAAGUAUAUUUGAUAUACAUGUUAUUGAUGUGUACUUUACUAGUGUUUAUAGCAAACCCUCAGUAUUUGAUACUAGUUCAGUUGCUGAUAUUAGUAACUCGAAACGGGAGUUGCAGAAUGAACAAAGACUAGUUAAGGGUGAAGUGACGAUGUGUGUUGGAAGUAGUUCCAAGAUUGAUAUGAUCAUCAUCGCACACUCCCUAUACUUUCGGGAUUAGUGUUGAACCUAAAUAAAUGUUAUUUGGUGUUUGCGUUAAGUAUGAAUAUGAUUUGAUCAUAUUUAUUGCAAUACGGUUAUUCAUUUAAAGUCAGAGAAUAAUUGUUGUUCUGUUUACAUGAAUAAAACAUUCAAUGGUCAUACACCCAAGGUGAAUGGUUUAUUGAAUCUCGAUCGUAGUGAUACGCAUAUUCAUAAUAUUGAAGCCAAAAGAUGCAAAGUUAAUAAUGAUAGUGCAACUUAUUUGUGGCGCUGCCGUUUAGGUCAUAUUGGUGUAAAGCACAUGAAGAAAAUCCAUGCUGAUGGGCUUUUGGAAUCACUUGAUUAUGAAUCAGUUGAUGCUUGCGAACUAUGCCUCAUGGGCAAGAUGACUAAGACUCCGUUCUCUAGAACAAUGGAGCGAGCAACAGACUUGUUGGAAAUAAUACAUACUGAUGUAUGCAGUCCGAUGAGUGUUGAGGCUCGCGGCAGGUAUCAUUAUUUUCUAACCUUCACAGAUGGUUUGAGUAAGAUAUGGGUAUAUCUUCUUGAUGAAACAUAAAUCUGAAACAUUUGAAAAAAUUAAAUAAUUUCAAAGUGAAGUGGAAAAUCAUCGUAACAAGAAAAUAAAGUUUCUACGAUCUGAUCGUGGAGGAGAAUAUUUGAGUUACGAGUCUGGUCUUCAUUUGAAACAAUGCGAAAUAUUUUUGCAACUCACGCCACCUGGAACACCACAAUGUAAUGGUGUGUCCGAACAUCGUAACCGUACUUUAUUAGAUAUGGUGCAAUCUAUGAUGUCUCUUACCGAUUUACCACUAUAGUUUUGGGGUUAUGCAUUAGAGACAACUGCAUUCACGUUAAAUAGGGCACCAUCUAAAUCCGUUGAGACGACGCCAUAUGAACUAUGGUUUGGCAAGAAACCAAAGUUGUCGUUUCUUAAAGUUUGGGUUUGUGAUGCUUAUGUGAAAAAGUUUCAGCCUGAUAAGCACAAAUCUAAAUCGAAAAAGUGCAUCUUCAUAGGAUACCCAAAAGAAACUGUUGGGUACACCUUCUAUCACAGAUCCGAAAGGCAAUAUCUUUGUUGCUAAGAGUGGAUCCUUUCUAGAGAAGAAGUUUCUCUCGAAAGAAGUGAGUGGGAGGAAUGUAGAACUUGAUGAGGUAAUUGUACCUUCUCCCAAAUUGGAAAGUAGUUCAUCACAGAAAUCAGUUCUAGUGAUCUCCACACCAAUUAGUGAGGAAGCUAAUGAUGAUGAUCAUGAAACUUCAGAUCAAGUUACUACCGAACCUCGUGGGACAACCAUAGUAUGGUCCGCACAAGAGUGGUACGGUAAUCCUUUCUGGAAGUCAUGUUACUCGACCAUGACGAACCUACGAACUAUGAGGAAGUGAUGAUGAGCCCAGAUUCCGCGAAAUGGCUUGAGUGUUGGAGAUAUGCCCUAGAGGCAAUCAUGUAUGAUGAUAUUUCCUAUGUGUUUAUGAAUAAAGAUAGUCCUUGGACAUUAUCAAUGAUGUGUAUCAGCAAGUAUGUGACUUGUUUGUGGGACUAUGCAUUGUAUGAUGACUGUCCUAAAAGAUCCCUAGUCGAAAGGGCUGUGUGGACGCGCAGCCAGCUAGACUAGCAUAUGACACGGUCGAUGGCUUGGUCUCACUAGCCAUGGAGCAUUGGAUGCUAACCGAAUAAUAUGGACUUGGAAGGAUCUGGUCGCAUUCGACGUAGUCAGAUCCGAGUCGAGAUAAGGUCCAAGUCGGACAGACCCAACUAUGAGACACAGCGAUAUGUCAUCUGUGAGUCUCUAGUACAACAUAUGUUCUAUGUCCUAAGACCUGAGCUGACGCAUGUACUCGGGAUGGUGACAGACUUGCUUUGGACCGACCAAACGCUACUCCGUAACUGGGUAGUUAUAAAGGUAGAUUUCGGGUUUGUCCAGAACCAUGCUACGAGACGUGGUCGAGCAAGAUGGGAUUUGCCCCUCCGAUCAGGAGAGAUGUACUCUGGGUCCCUCGUGUGAUCCGACCAGGAUAAGCAUGGCCAUGCGACAAGGAUUAUUAGAUAAUCUGGUUUUUGGUCGGCAUCACUAGAACGAGAAAGAGGUCGGGCUAGCACAAGGAUGACAGACUCGUCUUGAGCUCGACAACAUAUAUCGUGUGGCAAAAGGAAUGGAAGUGUGAUGUACAGGUUCGCUAACCAGCUUCAUAGUCUACUUGGUGUUCGGCAUGUCUUGCUAGAGGCCGCUACCAACCGUGCAGUUCGGAGGUGAUCCGAACUGCGACCAAGCCGACUUGAACCUAAGGGCUCACGCUCUUAAGGGAAGGAACCUACGAGGUCGGAUCCGAGGACACUGGUCGGAUGUGAUCCGAACUGUAUUCGGAUUGUGGCUGAGUAGACUUAUGGGAUUUAGGGUCCGUGCGAGGCCCAAGUGUUGAACCCGUGACGGACGCCUAUAUAUAUAGUGGAGGUGCGACACACUCAUGGGCUGAUCGCUUCGGCGCUGUCACUAGGGUUUGCAUGUGUUGCGAAUAGACACCUCCACUCGCCGCUAGUUGUGUGAUCGGACCUAGCAGUCCGCCGCACGACAUUCCUCCUGCACGCACGGAUAGCGUUAGAGGCGGUGCACUUGCGCUGCUCCGGCGAACCUGUACAUGGGAACCGACCACCGGUUGUACGAGGGAGAUCGGACGAGGAGGAGACGAUCCACGCGGACGCGCUGCCCCAACUCUUCUUCCGCUGCACGACACUGCACGUCUAGUGGUAACAAACUGUGAUCCAUCUCUCGUAGCAUGUUCUUGGUUGUUCUGCGCGUAGGAAAUUUUAAUUUGCAGUCGACGCACCCUACCGUAGAUCCCAACAGUGGUAUCAGAGCCUCUUCUAUAGGAUUUGGAUUCAGAUCAUAUGCAUAUUAGAUACGUGGAGGCAAUAGAUGAGAUUUGUUGUCAUUGAUAAGAAUGGCUGUGUGCACGGUUGAUGAGAUCAACUGCACAUGGGGAUCGAUGUGGCUAUGUUUUCUGUUGAUUGGGAUCGAUGAGGUCGUGACACGAUCUACCCCUACCGGUCGGUUAUCCGUCAUCGGGGUUAACAGUGAAACGUAAAUCCGAAUCGGGCUCGCGAUGAUCGAUAAGAUAGGUCAGAUCGAAACGUGAUCGGAGUUCAGAUGUGAUAUGUGAUUCCUGAAAACGUCGGGCGCUGCCCCUUCGAACCCCGCCAUGUGCGUAGCGCCUUGUAUUUCGUACACGAUCACUCAAACCGGUAGAAUGCGAUUCUAUGCAUAACUUUAUUUUGCAAGGUUUGAUGUGAAAUAGUAUGGCUCAUGUGUAUGUGAUGCAUGUGUGUAAAUUAUACAUGACCUGCGUGUCAUGUUUGUCAGCCGGCAGGAGCGAAAGUGCUGUCAUUAUAUUGUAUAACGACCUGCGUGCCGACUUGUGACUCUAUGUAAAAUUCAUUACUACUUGUAGUAGUUGGAUAAUAGAUAUCAGGUUGGUGGCUUGGCGUCCCGGCGUGACAAACAAGAUGGAGUUCCUAGAUGGUCAUCGGAGUCGGAGACAACCUGGAAGAACAUCCAUGAAGGAGCCUGAUCCGUCCAUUUUGCAUCAUGCUUUUAUAUCAAUAUUUAUUGCAUUAUGGGCUGUUAUUUCAUAUUAUGUCACAAUACUUAUGGCUAUUAUCUCUUAUUUUACAAGGUUUACAUAAGGAGGGAGAAUGCCGGUAGCUGGAAUUCUGGGCUGGAAAAGGAGCAAAUAUUAGAGACCUAUUCUGCACAACUCCAAAAGUCCUGAAACUCCACAGAACACCUUAUAAUAAAUAAUAAAAAAUCCUCGCCAAAGAUGAAGACCAGGGGGCCCACACCCUUCUCACGAGGGUGGGGGGGCGCCCCCUGCCUCGUGGGCCCCCUGGUGGCUCUCCGAUGACCAUCUUCUCCUAUAUGAAGUCUUUCGUCGAGAAAAAAAAUAAGAAGCAACCUUUCAGGACGAAACUCCGCCGCCACGAGGCGGAACCUUGGCGAAUCCAAUCUAGAGCUCCGGCAGAGCUGUUCUACUGGGGAAACUUCCCUCCCGAAGGGGGAAAUCAUCACCAUCGUCAUCACCAACGCUCCUCUCAUCGGGAGAGGGCAAUCUCCAUCAACAUCUUCAUCAGCACCAUCUCAUCUCAAAACCCUAGUUCAUCUCUUGUAUCCUAUUCUUGUCUUCAAGUCCGGGAUUGGUGCUAGUAGGUUGCUAGUAGUGUUAAUUACUUCUUGUAGUUGAUGCUAGUUGGUUUAAUUGGUGGAAGAUCAUAUGUUCAUAUCCUUUAUGCAUAUUAAUACCCCUCUGAUUAUGAACAUGUUUAUGCUUUGUGAGUAGUUACGUUUGUUCCUGAGGACAAGGGAGAAGUCUUGCUAUUAGUAGUCAUGUGAAUUUGGUAUUCGUUCGAUAUUUUGAUGAGAUGUAUGUUGUCUAGCCUCUAGUGGUGUUAUGUGAACGUCGACUACAUAACACUUCACCAUUAUUUGGGCCUAGAGGAAGGCAUUGGGAAGUAAUAAGUAGAUGAUGGGUUGCUAGAGUGACAGAAGCUUAAACCCUAGUUUAUGCGUUGCUUCGUAAGGGGCUGAUUUGGAUCCAUAUGUUUCAUGCUAUGGUUAGGUUUACCUCAAUACUUUUGUUGUAGUUGCGGAUGCUUGCAAUAGAGGUUAAUCAUAAGUGGGAUGCUCGUUCAAGUAAGAACAGGACCCAAGCACCGGUCCACACACAUAUCAAAUUAUCAAAGUACCGAACGCGAAUCAUAUGAGCGUGAUGAAAACUAGCUUGACGAUAUUCCCAUGUGUCUUCGGGAGCGCUUUUCCUUAGAUAAGAGUUUGUCCAGGCUUGUCCUUUGCUACAAAAAGGACUGGGCCACCUUGCUACACUUUAUUUACUUUUGUUACUUGUUGCUCGUUACAAAUUAUCUCAUUAUAAAACUAUACGUUACCACUUAUGUCAGUACUUGCAGAGAAUACCUUGCUGAAAACCGUUUAUCAUUUCCUUCUGCUCCUCGUUGGGUUUGACACUCUUACUUAUCGAAAGGACUACGAUAGAUCCCCUAUACUUGUGGGUCAUCAAGACUCUUUUCUUGUGCCGUUGCUAGGGAGUGAAGCGCCUUUGGUAGGUGAAAUUUGGUAAGGAAAAAUUUAUAUAGUAUGCUGAAAUUUAUUGUCACUUGUUACUAUGGAAAGUAAUCCUCUGAGGGGCUUGUUCGGGGUAUCUUCACCCCGACCAGUAGAGCAAAGAGUUGCUCCUCAACCUACUGAACCUAUUGAAAAUGAAAUUCCUUAUGAGUAUCCUUCGAGUAUAAUAGAAAAACUGCUAGCUAAUCCUUUUAUAGGAGAUGGAACAAAGCAUCCUGAUGAACACCUAAUAUAUGUGGAUGAAGUUUGUGGAUUAUUUAAGCUUGCAGGUAUUUCUGAUGAUGUUGCUAAGAAGAAGCUCUUCCCUUUAUCUUUGAAGGGAGACGCAUUGACAUGGUAUAGGCUAUGUGAUCAUAUGGGAUCAUGGAACUAUAGAAGAUUGAAAUUGGAAUUUCAUCAAAAGUAUUACCCUAUGCAUAUUGUUCAUCGUGAUCGCAAUUAUAUAUAUAAUUUUUGGCCUCACGAAGGAGAAAGCAUCGCUCAAGCUUGGGGGAGGCUUAAAUCAAUGUUAUAUUCAUGCCCUAAUCAUGAUCUUCCAAGAGAAACAAUUCUUCAAAAAAUUUAUGCUCGGCUUUCUGAUAACAAUCGCACCAUGCUUGAUACUUCUUGUGCUGGCUCUUUUAUGAUGAAGACUAUUGAAUUCAAAUGGGAUUUAUUGGAUAGAAUUAAACGCAACUCUGAAGAUUGGGACCUCGACAAUGGUAAGGAGUCAGGUAUGACAUCUAAGUUUGAUUGUGUUAAAUCUUUCAUGGAUAUCGAUAUUUUCCGUAAGUUUAGCACUAAAUAUGGACUUGAUUCUGAGAUAGUAGCUUCUUUCUGUGAAUCUUUCGCUACUUAUGUUGAUCUCCCUAAGGAGAAGUGGUUUAAAUAUCAUCCUCCCAUAGAAGUAAAAGUAGCUGCACCUAUUAAAGUUGAAGAAAAGACUGUCACUUAUAAUGAUCCUAUUGUUCCUACUUCUCAUGUUGAGAAACCACCUUUCCCUGUUAGGAUAAAGGAUCAUGCUAAAGCUUCAACUAUGGUUCGUAAAAGCAAUAUUAAAACAUAUACACAUUCUAAGCAAGUUAAAGUUGAACCUAAUAUUGCUAUUGUUAAAGAGCUCUUAUCUGAUAAUAUUGAUGGGCAUGUUAUUCAGUUCUGUAAUGAAACUGCUAGAAUUGCUAAACCCCGUGAUACAGAUAAACCUAGACCUGUGGUAGGCAUGCCUGUUAUUUCUGUUAAAAUAGGAGAUCAUUGUUAUCAUGGCUUAUGUGAUAUGGGUGCUAGUGCUAGUGCAAUACCUAUUGACUUAUACAACGAAAUUACGCAUGACAUUGCACCUGCUGAGUUAGAAGAAAUUGAUGUUACUAUUAAACUUGCUAAUAGAGAUACUAUUUCACCAAUGGGAAUUGUUAGAGAUGUUGAAGUCUUGUGUGGUAAAACUAAAUAUCCUGCCGAUUUUCUUGUUCUUGGUUCCCCACAAGAUAGCUUUUGUCCCAUUAUAUUUGGUAGACCCUUCUUAAAUAUAGUUAAUGCUAGGAUAGACUGCGAAAAGAAUGUUGUUACUAUUGGCUUGGAUGAUAUGACUCAUGAGUUUAAUUUCUCUAAAUUUAGUAAACAACACCGUGAAGAAGAAUUGCCUAGUAAGGAUGAAAUUAUUGGUCUUGCUUCUAUUGUCGUACCUCCUAAUGAUCCUUUAGAACAAUAUUUGCUAGACCAUGAGAAUGAUAUGUUUAUGAAUGAAAGAAGGGAAAUAGAUGAAGUAUUCUUUAAACAAGAACCUAUGCUAAAACACAAUUUGUCUGUUGAAAUCCUAGGGAAUCCUCCUCCACCUAAGGGUGAUCCCGUGUUUGAGCUUAAACCGUUGCCUGAUAAUCUUAAAUAUGCUUAUCUUGAUGAAAAGAAGAUAUAUCUUGUUAUUAUUAGUGCUAACCUUUCAGAGCAUGAAGAAGAAAGAUUAUUGAAAACUCUGAAGAAGCACCGUGCUGCUAUUGGAUAUACUCUUGAUGAUCUUAAGGGCAUUAGUCCCACUCUAUGUCAACAUAAAAUAAAUUUGGAAGCAGAUGCCAAACCAGUUCGUGAUCCUCAAGGACGUCUGAAUCCUAAAAUGAAGGAAGUGGUAAGAAAAGAAAUACUAAAGCUUCUGGAGGUAGGUAUAAUUUAUCCCGUUGCUGAUAGUCAGUGGGUAAGUCCUGUUCAUUGUGUCCCUAAGAAGGGAGGUAUUACUGUUGUUCCUAAUGAUAAAGAUGAGUUGAUUCCACAAAGAAUUAUUACAGGUUAUAGGAUGGUAAUUGAUUUCCGCAAAUUAAAUAAGGCUACUAAGAAAGAUCAUUACCCCUUACCUUUUAUCGAACAAAUGCUAGAAAGAUUAUGCAAACAUACACAUUACUGCUUUCUAGAUGGUUAUUUUGGUUUCUCUCAAAUACCUGUGUCGGCUAAAGAUCAAUCAAAGACUACUUUUACAUGCCCUUUUGGUACUUUUGCUUAUAGACGUAUGCCUUUUGGUUUAUGUAAUGCACCUGCUACCUUUCAAAGAUGCAUGAUGGCUAUAUUCUCUGAGUUUUGUGAAAAGAUUUGUGAGGUUUUCAUGGACGACUUUUCCGUCUAUGGAUCUUAUUUUGAUGAUUGCUUGAGCAAUCUUGAUCGAGUUUUGCAGAGAUGUGAAGAAACUAAUCUUGUCUUCAAUUCGGAAAAGUGCCACUUUAUGGUUAAUGAAGGUAUUGUCUUGGGGCAUAAAGUUUCUGAAAGAGGUAUUUAAGUUGAUAAAGCCAAGGUUGAUGCUAUUGAAAAGAUGCCAUGUCCCAAGGACAUCAAAGGUAUAAGAAGUUUCCUUGGUCACGCCAGAUUUUAUAGGAGGUUCAUUAAGGACUUCUCGAAAAUUUCUCGGCCUCUGACUAAUUUAUUACAAAAAGAUAUACCAUUUGUCUUUGAUGAUGAUUGUGUAGAAGCAUUUGAAAUACUUAAGAAAUCAUUAGUCUCUACACCUAUUGUUCAGCCACCUGAUUGGAAUUUACCCUUUGAAAUUAUGUGUGAUGCUAGCGAUUAUGCUGUAGGUGUUGUUCUAGGGCAAAGAGUUGAUAAGAAAUUAAAUGUUAUCCAUUAUGCUAGUAAGACUCUAGACAAUGCUCAAAGAAAUUAUGUUACUACUGAAAAAGAACUUUUAGUAGUUGUAUUUGCUUGUGAUAAGUUCAGACCUUAUAUUGUUGAUUCUAAAGUAACUAUCCACACUGAUCAUGCUGCUAUUAAAUGUCUUAUGGAGAAGAAAGAUGCUAAACCUAGACUUAUUAGAUGGGUCCUCUUGCUACAAGAAUUUGAUUUGCAUGUUGUUGAUAGAAAAGGAGCUGAGAACCCCGUUGCAGACACCUUAUCUAGGUUAGAGAAUGUUCUUGAUGACCCACUACCUAUUGAUGAUAGCUUUCCUGAUGAACAAUUAAAUGUCAUAAGUACUUCUCGUAGUACCCCUUGGUAUGCUGAUUAUGCUAAUUACAUAGUUGCUAAAUUUAUACCACCUAGCUUCACAUACCAACAAAAGAAAAAAUUCUUCUAUGAUUUGAGAUAUUACUUUUGGGAUGACCCACAUCUUUAUAAAGAAGGAGUAGAUGGUGUUAUUAGACGUUGUGUACCUGAGCAUGAAUAGGAACAGAUCCUACGCAAGUGCCACUCUAAAACUUAUGGAGGACACCACGCGGGAGAUAGAACUGCACAUGAGGUAUUGCAAUCCGGCUUUUAUUGGCCUACUCUCUUCAAGGAUGCCCAUAAGUUUGUCCUUUCUUGUGAUGAAUGUCAAAUAAUUGGUAAUAUUAGUAGACAUCAAGAAAUGCCUAUGAAUUAUUCAUUUGUUAUUGGAUCGUUUGAUGUUUGGGGCUUUGAUUAUAUGGGACCUUUUCCUGCCUCUAAUGGAUAUACACAUAUUUUAGUUGAUGUUGAUUACGUUACUAAGUGGGUAGAAGCUAUUCGAACUAGUAGUGCUGAUCAUAACACUUCUAUUAAAAUGCUUAAAGAAGUUAUUUUUCCAAGGUUUGGACUCCCUAGAUAUGUAAUGACUAAUGGUGGUUCACAUUUUAUUCAUGGUGCUUUCCGUAAAAUGCUUGCUAAAUAUGACGUCAAUCAUAGAAUUGCAUCUCUGUAUCACCCACAGUCUAGUGGUCAAGUAGAAUUGAGUAAUAGAGAACUCAAAUUAAUUUUGCAAAAGAAUGUCAAUAGGUCUAGAAAGAAUUGGUCCAAGAAACUUGAUGAUGCAUUAUGGGCCUAUAGAACUGCAUAUAAAAAUCCUAUGGGUAUGUCUCCGUGUAAAAUGGUAUAUGGAAAAUCAUGUAACUUACCUCUCGAACUAGAACAUAAGGCAUAUUGGGCUAUUAAAGAGCUCAACUAUGAUUUCAAACUUGCCGGUGAAAAGAGGUUAUUUGAUAUUAGCUCACUUGAUGAAUGGAGAACCCAAGCUUAUGAAAAUGCCAAGUUGUUUAAAGAAAAGGUUAAAAGAUGGCAUGACAAAAGGAUACAAAAGCUUGAGUUUAGUGUAGGUGAUUAUGUAUUGCUAUACAACUCUCGUUUAAGAUUUUUGCAGGGAAACUUCUCUCUAAAUGGGAAGGCCCCUAUGUUAUCGAGGAGGUCUAUCAUUCUGGUGACAUAAAAAUCAACAACUUCAAAGGCACAAAUCCGAAGGUGGUAAAUGGUCAAAGAAUCAAACAUUAUAUCUCAGGUAAUCCCAGAAAUGUUGAAACCAAUAUCAUUGAAACCGUAACCCCGAAGGAAUACAUAAGGGACACUUUACAGAAUGUUUCAGACUCCGAAAAGGAAUAGGUAUGUGGUACGGUAAGUAAACCGACUCCAAAACAAUUUUUAAGGCAAUAUUUCUCCGUUUUGGAAUAUUUAGAAAAAUAGAAAAUUAAGUAGCAGUCCGGGAAGGACACGAGGGCCUCACGAGGGUGGAGGGCGUGCCCUACCCCCUGGGCGCGCCCCCUACCUCGUGAGCUCCUCAUGUGCCUUCUGGACUCCGUUUUCUUGCACGAUAUGUAUUUUGGUCAGUAAAAAUUCACUAUAUAUUCUCCCGAAGGUUUUGACUCCCGUAUUACGCAAAAAUCUCCUGUCUUUGUUUCGAGCUGUUUUCUGUCAGGGUUUUCAAGGCCAGACACUAUGUCGUCUCCCUCCUCCUCCAAUCAUGAGGGCAAUGAUGCUUGGCUAAUGAAGAUAGAGCUGAAGAGAGAAGAACCUAUGGAGAUCAAUAAGGAUGAAGGGAUCAAGAAGGCCGUGGAGGACCAAGUUCCAGCAAUAGAAGACACCCUUCAACUGGAUCAUAAUCUUCUUACCCCUACAGAAAUCGAAGCUUUCAAGAUGAUUGAGUUGGCUCGUAUACAAAAUAAGUAUCUCACACGUGAAAAUAUUUUGUUGAAGGAGCAUAUCAUCGCACUCAAGGGCAUUAUCCGCAAGUUAGAAUACCUUCUACGUUCGAUGUGCGACAAUCCAUCAUCAACAACACCUUCACCUUCUUCACCAACCAAGGAGAUAUAAUAACAUGGGUAUGGGCACUCCCCUUGGCAACAACCAAGCUUGGAGGAGUGCCCCGGUAUCGUAUCACCAUCACUUUUAUCUUUACCAUUUAUCUUAGUUCGAUAUUAUUAGUAGUAUUUUGAUCUAGUAGAAUAAAGUUUGUGGCAUGAUCUGUUGUGAGUUUUGCUUUAUUAUCCUUCUAUGUAAUCGAGUCUGUGAGCUAUAUAAUAAAGAUUAGUGUUGAGUCAAGGGCUUGAUUGUUUUGCCAUGAUCCUAAGUGAAUAAAAGAAAAGAUAAAGAAAUAAAAAUAAACAAAGAGAUCAUAUGGAUCUCAUGGAGAGUAAUGAGCUCACAUAGAAAAGGUAUGAUGAAUAAAAGUUGUUGAGAGUUGACAAGCAUAGUUUUGGUCAUCGUUGCAAUUAAUAGGAAGUAAUAAAGAAAGAGAGGUCUUCACAUAUAGAUAUGCUAUCUUGGACAUCUUUUAUGAUUUGAGCACUCAUUAAAAUAUGACAUGCUAAAGAGUUGACAUUGGACAAGGAAGACAACGUAAUGGGGUAUGGUUUCUUACAUCUGAGAUAAAUUAUAUUGUCUUGGAUCUUCCAACAUGUUGAGCUUGCCUUUCCCCCUCAUGCUAGCCAAAUUCAUUGCACCAAAUAGAGAUACUACUUGUGCUUCCAAAUACCCUUAAACCAGUUUUGCCAUGAGAGUCCACCAUAUCUACCUAUGGAUUGAAUAAGAUCCUUCAAGUAAGUUGUCAUUGGUGCAAAGCAAUAAAAAUUGCUCUCUAAAUAUGUAUGAUUGAUUGGUGUGGGAGAAAUAAGCUUUAUACGAUCUUGUGAUGUGGAAGUAAUAAAAGCGACAGACUGCAUAAUAAAGGUUCAUAUCACAAGGGGCAAUAUAAAGUUACGUUCUUUUGCAUUAAGAUUUUGUGCAUCCAACCAUAAAAGCGCAUGGCAACCUUUUCUUCCCUCUGCGAAGGGCCUAUCUUUUAUCAUUAUCUUCUACCUUAUGCAAGAGUCAUGGUGAUUUUCACCCUUCCUUUUUACACUUUAUCCUUUGGCAAGCACAUUAUGUUGGAAAGAUCCUGGUAUAUAUGGCUAAUUGGAUGUGAGUUUUCAUGAACUAUUACUGUUGACAUUACCCUUGAGGUAAAACGUUGGGAGGCAAGACUAUAAGCCCCUAUCUUUCUCUGUGUCCGAUUAAAACUCCACACCCAUAAGUAUUGCGUGAGUGUCAGCAGUUGUGAAAGAUUAUAUGAUAGUAGUAUGUGGACUUGCUGAAAAGCUCUUAUACAUUGUCUCUUUCCUAUGUUAUGAUAAAUUGCAAUUGCUUCAGUGACCGAGAUUGUAGUUUCUUAGUUUUCAAUGAAGUUUACGAUUCAUACUUGAUAUUGUGAUUGAAUUAUUACUCUAGCAUUAGAGAUCAUAUGACAAAAAUUAUAUAAGUUGCUGUUAUAAGAAUGAUCGUGAUGCCCUCAUGUCCGUAUUUUAUUUUUAUCGACACCUUCAUCUCUAAACAUGUGGACAUAUUUUUCGAUUUCGGCUUUUCGCUUGAGGACAAGCGAGGUCUAAGCUUGGGGGAGUUGAUACGUCCAUUUUGCAUCAUGCUUUUAUAUCAAUAUUUAUUGCAUUAUGGGUUGUUAUUUCACAUUAUGUCACAAUACUUAUGGCUAUUCUCUCUUAUUUUACAAGGUUUACAUAAGGAGGGAGAAUGUCGGCAGCUGGAAUUCUGGGCUGGAAAAGGAGCAAAUAUUAGAGACCUAUUCUGCACAACUCCAAAAGUCCUGAAACUCCACGGAACACCUUAUAAUAAAUAAUGAAAAACCCUCGCCAAAGAUGAAGACCAGGGGGCCCACACCCUUCUCACGAGGGUGGGGGGCGCCCCCCUAGGGCGCGCCCCUGCCUCGUGGGCCCCCUGGUGGUUCUCGGAUGACCAUCUUCUCCUAUAUGAAGUCUUUCGUCGAGAAAAAAUAAGAAGCAACCUUUCAGGACGAAACUCCACCGCCACAAGGCGGAACCUUGGCGGAUCCAAUCUACAGCUCCGACAGAGCUGUUCUGCCGGGGAAACUUCCCUCCCGGAGGGGGAAAUCAUCGCCAUCGUCAUCACCAACGCUCCUCUCAUCGGGAGAGGGCAAUCUCCAUCAACAUCUUCAUCAGCACCAUCUCAUCUCAAAACCCUAGUUCAUCUCUUGUAUCCGAUUCUUGUCUUCAAGUCCGGGAUUGGUGCUAGUAGGUUGCUAGUAGUGUUAAUUACUCCUUGUAGUUGAUGCUAGUUAGUUUAAUUGGUGGAAGAUCAUACGUUCAGAUCCUUUAUGCAUAUUAAUACCCCUCUGAUUAUGAACAUGUUUAUGCUUUGUGAGUAGUUACGUUUGUUACUGAGGACAAGGGAGAAGUCUUGCUAUUAGUAGUCAUGUGAAUUUGGUAUUCGUUCGAUAUUUUGAUGAGAUGUAUGUUGUCUAGCCUCUAGUGGUGUUAUGUGAACAUCGACUACAUAACACUUCACCAUUAUUUGGGCCUAGAGGAAGGCAUUGGGAAGUAAUAAGUAGAUGAUGGGUUGCUAGAGUGACAGAAGCUUAAACCCUAGUUUAUGCGUUGCUUCGUAAGGGGCUGAUUUGGAUCCAUAUGUUUCAUGCUAUGGUUAGGUUUACCUUAAUACUUUUGUUGUAGUUGCGGAUGCUUGCAAUAGAGGUUAAUCAUAAGUGGGAUGCUUGUUCAAGUAAGAACAGCAUCCAAGCACCGGUCCACCCACAUAUCAAAUUAUCAAAGUACCGAACGCGAAUCAUAUGAGCGUGAUGAAAACUAGCUUGACGAUAUUCCCAUGUGUCCUCGGGAGCGCUUUUCCUUAUAUAAGAGUUUGUCCAGGCUUGUCCUUUGCUACAAAAAGGAUUGGGCCACCUUGCUGCACUUUAUUUACUUUUGUUACUUGUUGCUCGUUACAAAUUAUCUCAUUACAAAACUAUCUGUUACCACGUAUUUCAGUACUUGCAGAUAAUACCUUGCUAAAAACCGUUUAUCAGUUCCUUCUGCUCCUCGUUGGGUUCGACACUCUUACUUAUCGAAAGGACUAUGAUAGAUCCCCCAUACUUGUGGGUCAUCAGAGCCAUACUAUUUCACAAUAUGUGUUUAUUUGUGAUUGUUAUGCUUCCUUGUUUUCUAUGCAUGUUAGAAUGGUAGAAAGAUCCCUCAUGAAUAUCAAGCGAAUUGCCAUCCCCGAUGUUGCACCUUCGCACGUCAAGUACGUCUAGUAGUGGGCUCAUAAAAUUGGGGUGCUGCUAGGUGUCCUUGAACUGAAGGGUUUGUGUCGGACACGGACAUGCACUGCAUUAGGUUGACUUGACAAGGCUAUCAAAACGGUUUUGGGCCUUGUGGCAAAAGAGGUCGGGAGCCGGGGUAUGAGAUACCUACCCGACCGAUAGGAGUUGUAUAGAGAUACGAUUAACAAGGAGUUGCUUACCAGAUAGACAUGUUGUCUAGCAGUGAUGCUAAAGCUCACUAGUCGCAUGUGCUAGUCGGAUCCUAAAUCACUAGGAGUUUGCGGAGGGAUGCUGACUUCAGUGGGAGUAUUUCUGUUUAAGGCUAGAAUUACUCUACAUAAACACAUUGCUUAGUGAUUGCAUAUUUUUUUGUUGUAGAUCAAUGGCACCACCUGCUCAACCCAACUUUGCAUUGAAAUCAAUUCUGGAAAAGGAUAAACUGAAUGGAACAAACUUUACUACCUGGUAUAGAAAUUUGAGAAUUGUUCUCAAGCAUGAUAAAAAGGAACAUAUUCUACCUGCCGAUAAUGCUAGUACCACAACCAAGAAUGCCUACCAGAAACUCAUUGAUGAAUCAAACGAGAUCAACUACCUCAUGUUGGCUUGUAUGGAGCCCGAUUUGCAGCAGCAUUUCAAAGACGUUGGGGCUUUCGAUAUGAUCGAGAGUCUCAAGAGCAUGUUUCAGGUGCAGGCUAUGACCGAAAGGUUCAGCGUCUGGCGAUCCUUGAUGGAUUGUAAGCUGAAGGAAGGUGAUCCACUGAGCCCGCAUGUGAUCAAGAUGAUCGGAUAUGUGCAAGUUGGACCGGUUGGGCUUCCCGCUCUUGGAUGAGCUGGCUACUGAUGCAGUUCUGGGUUCUCUUCCGCCCAGCUAUGGGACGUUCAUCUCGAACUAUCAUAUGCAUGGCAUGGAUAAGAAGCUCACUGAAUUGCAUGGGAUGCUCAAAGUAGCAGAGCAGGAUAUUAAGAAAGGCACGCAUCAAGUGUUGAUGGUGCAAAAAUCGGCUAAGUUCAAGAAGAGUUAGUCUAAGAAGAAGGCUAAGGCAAAGGGCACGGAGAUGGUAACCUCCGCCGCUGCGCCGAAGUCUGGACCGGACUCAAAGACCAUUUGCUAUCAUUGCAAGGAGACUGGUCACUGGAAGAGGAACUGUACCAAGUGGCUUGCAGAGCAUGGCAAGAAGGCCGGGAAUGCUGCUUCAGGAAAAGGUACACUUGUUGCAUAUGUUAUAGACAUUUACCUUGCUGACAUACCUAGUAGCUCUUGGGUAUUUGAUACCGGAUUGGUUGUUCAUAUUUGCAACUCGAUGCAGGGGCUAGUAAGAACUAGGCGUGUGGCACAAGGGGAGAUUGACAUCAGGGUCAGCAACAAAGCAAGAGUUGCUGUGUUGGAGGUCGGCACGAUGCAGCUCCAGCUUCCUUUUGGAUUUAUAUUGGAAUUGAAUAAUUGUUAUUACAUUCUUGCACUUAGUCGGAACAUUAUUUCUGCCUCAUGCUUGAUGAGUCAGGGUUAUGAAUUCAAUUUAAAGGACAAUGGUUGUUCGAUUUAUUUGAAUGGUAUGUUCCACGGCUAUGCACCCAUUCUUGAUGGGUUAUUUAUACUGAAUCUAGAAUAGGAACCGGUCUAUAACGUGAAUGUCAAGAGGCAUAAGCCCAAUGAGAUAAAUCCGACAUACUUCUGGCAUUGCCGGCUUGGACACAUUAGUCUAAAACGCAUGAAGAAGCUCCAUGAUGAUGGACUCCUAACUUCGACCGACUUUGGGUCGUUCGAGACAUGAGAAUCAUGCUUGCUCGGCAAGAUGACUAAGUCUCCUUUCGCAAAGAGUUGCGAGAAGGCAUCCGAGUUGUUGGAACUGAUACACAGUGAUGUGUGUGGACCAAUGAGCACAACUGCCAGAGGUGGCUAUUAGUACUUCGUGACUUUUACCGACGACUUGAGUAGAUAUGGAUAUAUCUAUUUAAUGAGGCACAAGUCAGAGACUUUUGAAAAGUUCAAAGAGUUUCAAAACGAGGUGGAGAAUCAGCUCGGUAAGACUAUAAAACUUCUACGAUCUGAUCAUGGAGGUGAGUACAUGAGCUAGGAGUUUGAUGAUCAUCUGAAAAGCAGAGGUAUAGUACCUAAGCUCACACCUCCGAGUACACCACAGACAAAUGGUGUAUCAGAAUGGAGGAAUCGCACCUUGUUGGACAUGGUUCGAUCUAUGAUGAGCAAGUCGGAUUUACCCCUGUCAUUCUAGGGAUAUGCUCUAGAAACUGCAGCUUUCACACUUAACAGGGUACCAUCAAAAUCCGUAGACAAGACACCACAUGAAAUAUGGACCGGGAAGAGUCCCAGUUUGUCUUUUCUAAAGAUUUGGGGUUGUGAAGCAUUUGUCAAGAAACUUAUGUCAGACAAGCUUACACCCAAGUCGGAUAAAUGCAUAUUCGUGGGAUAUUCGAGGGAAACCUUGGGAUAUAACUUCUACAACCAAGAAGAGAACAAAGUGUUUGUUUCUCGGAACAGGGUUUUCCUUGAGAAAGAGUUUCUCAGUCGGGAGGCUAGUGGGAGGACGGUCCGACUCGAAGAAAUUCGAGGACCACUCAGGGACGGCUCGACUGGUGAUGAGAUCAUACCGGAGUUAGUCAGGGAACCCGUAGUGGAAGCGGCACCGGAACCACAAAGGUCGGAAAGAUUGCACAGAGUGUGCGAUGUAUUGUUGCUAGAAAGUGACAAGCCGACCACAUAUGCAGAAGCGAUGGUGAGCCCAGAUUCCGAGGCAUGGCUGGAGGCCAUGAGAUCCGAGUUAAAGUCCAUGGAUGAGAAUCAAGUUUGGGACUUGGCUGAUCCGCUACCUGGCGUAACGGCCAUUGGUUGCAAAUGGGUCUUUAAGAAGAAAACCGAUGUGGAUGGAAAUGUUCAGAUCCACAAAGCUCGGCUUGUCUCUAAGGGUUAUGGACAAGUUCAAGGAAUUGACUACGACGAGACUUACUCGCCGGUAGUGAUGCUAAAGUCGGUGAUGACCGUACUAGCUAUAGCCGCAUAUUUCGAUUACGAGAUAUGGCAGAUGGAUGUCAAGACGACUUUCCUUCAUGGAAAUUUAACCGAGGAUGUGUAUAUGAUACAGCCCGAGGGUUUUGUCGAUCCGACUAGCACUAGUAAGGUAUGCAAGCUCAAGAGAUCCAUUUAUGGGUUGAGGCAAGCAUCUCGGAGCUGGAACAUUCGUUUUGAUGAGUUCGUCACUGGUUUCAGCUUCAUCAAAAGUGAAGAGGACUCUUGUUUAUACAAGAAGUUAAGUGGGAGCUCGAUAGUGUUUUUGAUCUUGUAUGUGGAUGACAUACUACUGAUCGGAAAUGAUAUUUCGAUGCUGAACUCGGUCAAGGAGUCAUUGAAUGGCAAGUUUUCGAUGAAGGACCUUGGUGAGGCAAUGUACAUAUUAGGCAUUAAGAUCUGUAGAGAUAGGUCAAGGAGGCUUCUUGGCUUAAGCCAGAGCACGUACAUAGAUAAAGUGUUGAAGCGGUUCAACAUGAGUGAGGCAAAGAAAGGGUUCUUGCCACUCUCACAUGGUAUAAGGCUAAGCGAGACUCAGAGUCCUUCGACAUCUGAUGAGCGAAGCAGGAUGAGUAGGAUUCCAUAUGCCUCGGCAAUUGGAUCUAGUAUGUAUGCCAUGAUAUGUACGCGGCCCUAUGUUGCUUUUGCAAUAAGCCUAACAAGUAGAUACCAGACCAACCCAUGUGAGAGUCACUGGGCAGCAGUAAAGACUAUUUUGAAGUACCUGAAAAGGACUAAAGAGAUGUUCCUACUUUAUGGAGGUGAGAAAGAGCUCAUCAUAAGGGGUUACGCCGAUGCUAGUUUCCAAACCGACAGUGAUGAUUGUCGAUCAUAGUCUGGAUUCGUGUACGUCAUGAACGGAGGAGCAGUGAGCUGGAUGAGUUCCAAGCAAGAUACGGUGGCCGAUUCUACUAUAGAAGCCGAAUACAUUGCGGCUUGUGAAGCUGCAAAGGAAGGUGUUUGGAUCCGGAACUUUCUGGAUGAUCUUGGUAUUUUCCCAGCCUCGGUAAAACCGUUGGACCUUUAUUGUGAUAAUUCUGGUGCCAUCGCGCAAGCCAAGAAGCUGAGGAAUCGCCACAAGGUCAGACACAUAGAUCGGAAAUAUCACCUGAUACGAACGAUCGUAAAGAGUGGUGAUGUAGAGUUAUGCAAAAUUCACAUGGAUGCAAAUGUUGCGGAUCUGUUGACUAAGCCGCUUCCACAACCCAAGCAUGAGGGGCACGUUAGAGCUAUGGGCAUUCGAUGUCUAUUUGAUUGACUCUAGUGCAAGUGGGAGACUGUUGGAGAUAUGCCCUAGAGGCAAUCAUGUAUGAUGAUAUUUCCUAUGUGUUUAUGAAUAAAGAUAGUCCUUGGACAUUAUCAAUGAUGUGUAUCAGUAAGUACGUGACUUGUUUGUGGGACUAUGCAUUGUAUGAUGACUGUCCUAAAAGAUCCCUAGUCGAAAGGGUUGUGUGGACGCGUAGCCAACUAGACUAGCAUAUGACACGGUCGAUGGCUUGGUCUCACUAGCCAUGGAGCAUUGGAUGCUAACCGGAUAAUAUGGACUUGGAAGGAUCUGGUCGGAUUCGACGUACUCGGAUCCGAGUCGAGAUAAGGUCCAAGUCGGACAGACCCAACUAUGAGACGCAGCUGUAUGUCAUCUCUGAGUCUCUAGUACAACAUAUGUUCUAUGUCCUAAGACCUGAGCUGACGCAUGUACUCGGGAUGGUGACAGACUUGCUUUGGGCCGACCAAACGCUACUCCAUAACUGGUUAGUUAUAAAGGUAGGUUUCGGAUUUGUCUAGAACCAUGCUACGAGACGUGGUCGAGCAAGAUGGGAUUUGCCCCUCCGAUCAGGAGAGAUAUACUCUGGGCCCCUCAUGUGAUCCGACCAGGAUAAGCAUGGCCAUGUGACAAGGAUUAUGAGAUAAUCCGGUUUUUGGUCAGCAUCACUGGAACGAGAAAGAGGUCGGGCUAGCAAAAGGAUGACAGACUCGCCUUGAGCUCGACAACAUAUAUCGUGUGGCAAAAGGAAUGGAAGUGUGAUGUACAGGUUCGCUAACCAGCUUCAUAGUCUUCUUGGUGUUCGGCAUGUCUUGCUAGAGGCCGCUACCAACCGUGCAGUUCGGAGGUGAUCCGAACUGCGACCAAGCCGACUUGAACCUAAGGGGUCGCGCGCUUAAGGGAAGGAACCUACGAGGUCGGAUCCGAGGACACUGGUCGGAUGUGAUCCGAACUAUAUUCGGAUUGUGGCCGAGUAGACUUAUGGGCUUUAGGGUCCGUGCGAGGCCCAAGUGUUGAGCCCGUGACGGAUGCCUAUAUAUAUAGUGGAGGUGCGACACACUCAUGGGCCGAUCGCUUCGGCGCUAUCACGUGGGAACCGACCACCGGUUGUACGAGGGAGAUCGGACGAGGAGGAGACGAUCCACGCGGACGCACUGCCCCAACUCUUCUUCCGCUGCACGGCACUGCGCGUCUAGUGGUAACAAACUGUGAUCCAUCUCUCGUAGCAUGUUCUUGGUUGUUCCGCGCGUAGGAAAUUUUUAUUUGCAGUUGAUGCAUCCUAAUGUAGAUCCCAACAUUAAGGCCAUGAAAUCUGAGAUGGGAUCCAUAUAUGAGAACAAAGUAUGGACUUUGAUUGACUUGCCCGAUGAUCGGUGAGUCAUUAAAAAUAAAUGGAUCUUCAAGAGGAAGACGAACGUUGAUAGUAGUGUUACUAUCUACAAAGCUCGAAUUGUCGCAAAAUGUUUUCGACAAGUUCAAGGUGUUGACUAUGAUGAGAUUUUCUCACUCGUAUCGAUGCUUAAAAGUUUGUCCGAAUCAUGUUAGCAGUUGCCACAUUUUAUGAAAUCUGGCAAAUGGAUGUCAAAACUGUAUUCCUUCAUGGAUUUCCUAAAAGAAGAGUUGUAUAUGAUGCAACCAGAAGGUUUUGUCGAUCCUAAAGAUGCUAACAAAGUGAGCAAGCUCCAGCGAUCCAUCUAUGGACUGGUGCAAGCAUCUCAGAGUUGGAAUAUAUGCUUUGAUAAAGUGAUCAAAGCAUAUGGUUUUAUACAGACUUGUGGUGAAGCCUAUAUUUACAAGAAAGUGAGUGGGAGCACUACAACAUUUCUAAUAAGUAUAUGUGAAUGACAUAUUGUUGAUCGAAAAUAAUGUAGAAUUUUCUGGAAAGCAUAAAGGAGUAUUUGAAAGGAGUUUUUCAAAGAAAAACCUCGAUGAAUCUGCUUACACAUUGAGCAUCGAGAUCUAUAGAGAUAGAUCAAGACGCUUGAUAAGUUUUUUUUCAAUGAGUAUAUACCUUGACAAGAUUUUGAAGUAGUUCAAAAUGGAACAGUCAAAGAAGGAGUUCUUGCCUGUGUUGCAAGGUGUGAAGUUGAGUAAAGACUCAAAACCCGACCACGGCAGAAAAUAGAAAGAGAAUGAAAGUCAUUCCCUAUGCCUCAGUCAUAGGUUCUAUAAAGUAUGCUAUGCUGUUUACCAGUCUUAUUGUAUACCUUAGCAUGAUUCUGGCAAGGGGGUACAAUAGUGAUCUAGGAGUAGAUCACUAAACAGCGGUCAAAAUUAUCCUUAGAGGACUAAGGAAAUAUUUCUCGGUUAUGGAGGUGAUGAAAGAGUUCAUCGUAAAGAGUUACGUCGAUGCAAGCUUUUUACAUCGAUCUAGAUGACUCUAAGUCUCGAUCUGGAUACAUAUUGAAAGUUGGAGCAAUUAGCUAGAGUAGCUCCGUGCAGGGCAUUGUAGACAUAGAAAUUUGCGAAAUACAUACGGAUCUGAAUGUUGAAGACCCGUUGACUAAAUUUCUCUCACAAGCAAAACAUGAUCACUCUUUGGGUUUUAAUCACAUAGCGAUGUGAACUAGAUUAUUGACUCUAGUAAACCCUUUGGGUGUUAGUCACAUGGAGAUGUGAACUAAUCACAUAAAGAUGUAAACUAUUGAUGUUAAAUCACAUGACAAUGUGAACUAGAUUAUUGACUCUAGUGCAAGUGGGAGACUGAAGUAAAUAUGCCCUAGAGGCAAUAAUAAAGUUGUUAUUUAUAUUUACUUAUAUCAUGAUAAAUGUUUAUUAUUCAUGCUAGAAUUGUAUUAACCGGAAACUUAGUACAUGUGUGAAUACAUAGACAAACAGAGUGUCACUAGUUUGCCUCUACUUGACUAGCUCGUUGAAUCAAUGAUGGUUAUGUUUCCUAACCAUAGACAUGAGUUGUCAUUUGAUUAACGGGAUCACAUCAUUAGAGAAUGAUGUGAUUGACUUGACCCAUCCGUUAGCUUAGCAUGAUGAUCGUUUAGUUUGUUGCUAUUGCUUUCUUCAUGACUUAUACAUGUUCCUAUGACUAUGAGAUUAUGCAACUCCCGAAUACCGGAGGAACACUUUGUGUGCUACCAAACGUCACAACGUAACUGGGUGAUUAUAAAGGUGCUCUACAUGUGUUUCCGAUGGUACUUGUUGAGUUGGCAUAGAUCGAGAUUAGGAUUUGUCACUCCAAUUAUCGGAGAGGUAUCUCUGGGCCCUCUCGGUAAUGCACAUCACUAUAAGCCUUGCAAGCAAUGUGACUAAUGAGUUAGUUGCGGGAUGAUGCAUUACGGAACAUGUAAAGAGACUUGCCGGUAACGAGAUUGAACUAGGUAUUGAGAUACCGACGAUCGAAUCUCGGGCAAGUAACAUACCGAUGACAAAGGGAACAACGCAUGUUGUUAUGCGGUUUGACCGAUAAAGAUCUUUGUAGAAUAUGUGGGAGCCAAUAUGAGCAUCCAGGUUCUGCUAUUGGUUAUUGACCGGAAACGUGUCUCGCUCAUGUCUACAUAGUUCUCGAACCCAUAUGUAGGGUCCGCACGCUUAAUGUUCGGUGACAAUCGAUAUUACGAGUUUAUGUGUUUUGAUGUACCGAAGGUAGUUCGGAGUCCCGGAUGAGAUCGGGAACAUGACAAGGAGUCUCGAAAUGGUCGAGACAUAAAGAUCGAUAUGUUGGAUGACUAUAUUCGAACAUCGGAAAUGUUCUAAGUGAUCCAGGUAUUUUUCGGAGUACCGGCGGAGUUACGGGAAUACGGGAGUACAUAUGGGCCUUAGUGGGCUUUAGGGGAAAAAGAGGAGAAGCCACAAGGGCUGGCCGCGCGCCCCCAUGGGCCUAGUCCGAAUUGGACUAGGGGAGGGGCUGCGCCCCCUCUUUCCUUCUCCUCCCCUCUCCUUCCUCCCCCCUCCUAGUAGGACUAGGAAAAGAGGAAUCCUACUCCUACUAGGAGGAGGAUUCCUCAUCCCCUUGGUGCACCUAGAGAGGCCGGCGGCCUCCCCUCCCUCCUUUAAAUACGUGGGGAGGGGGGCACCCUAGAACACACAAGGUGAUCAUUGAUCCCUUAGCCGUGUGCGGUUCCCCCUCCACCAUAAUCCACCUCGAUCAUAUCAUAGCGGUACUUAGGUGAAGCCCUGCAUCGGUAGCAACAUCAUCACCAUCAUCACGCCGUCAUGCUGACGGAACUCUCCCAUGAAGCUCUGCUGGAUCGGAGUUCGUGGGACGUCAUCGAGCUGAACAUGUGCUGAACUCGGAGGUGCCGUGCGUUCGAUACUUGGAUCGGUCGGAUCGUGAAGACGUUCGACUACAUCAACCGCGUUCUCGUAAAGCUUCCGCUUACGGUCUACGAGGGUACGUGGAAGAUACUCUUCCCUCUCGUUGCUAUGCAUCACCAUGAUCUUGCGUGUGCGUAGGAAAUUUUUGAAAUUACUGCGUUCCCCAACAACCAGAUCAUUGUACAUAGUAGGUGACUAUAACUUGCAAGAUCGGAUCUAGAACAUGGAUAUAAUUAUGAUAACAUAAACGAUUUAGAUCUGAAAUCAUGGCACCCGGGCCCAAAGUGACAAGCAUUAAGCAUGGCAAAGUCAUAACAACAUCAAUCACAAAACAUAGUGGAUACUAGGGAUCAAGCCCUAACAAAACUAACUAGAUUACAUGAUGAAUCUCAUCCAACUCCUCGCAGACUAGCGAGCCUACGAAGGAAUUACUCACUCCCGGCGGGGAGCAUCAUGGAAUUGGCGAUGGAGAAGGGUUGGUGAUGACGAAGAAUAAAGAUCCCCCUCUCCGAAGCCCCAAACGGACUCCAGAUCUGGCCUCCCGAUGAAGAACCGGAGGUGACGGCGGCUCCAUCUCGUGGAUCGCAAUAAUUCUUUCUCCCUGAUGUUUUUCUGGAAAUAUGGGAUUUUAUAGCGUCGGUUUCAGGGUCUGCAGGGCCACUAGGUGGGGACAACCCACCUAGGCGCGCCUGGGUGGCAGACGCGCCCUGGUGGGUUGUGCCCCCCUUAGGUGGCUCUUGGCUCCAGAAAUUCUAUUUACUAAUAUAAAAAUUCCUCGCAAAGUUUCGUUCCAUUCCGAGAACUUUUAUUUCUGCACAAAAACAACACCAUGGUAGUUCUGCUGAAAACAACGUCAGUCCGGGGUUAGUUCCAUUCAAAUCAUGCAAAUUAGAGUCCAAAACAAGAGGAAAAGCAUUAGGAAAAGUAGAUAUGUUAGAGAUGUAUCAAAGGUCACCAUGUACCCGAUCUUGAUUUGAUGGACGACGACGAAGGUGGCCCAACCCUGAUCGAGGGUGACCCUGCCGUUCAUCUGCCGGACGAUGACCCUUCGUGAGCAGCUGUUGUUCGUCUUCAACUUGAACUCUGUUGACACGGCUGGGAAGUGCUUGGUGAAGUCGAGGGGCAUUGAGAUGCACUCAAGCUUCGGGGCGAGGAUCACCUUGUAGAAGUGAGUUGGCCCAGCCUCCUCAUGGUAGUGCCUGUAGUUCCGAUGCUUGUCGCUGGGAGCUCCUCCGGCACCACGUCGUCAUGCGUGGCCACCUCCUCAUGCGUGGUUGGCACAACCUCCAAGGGCAGCACCACCUCCUUGCCAUUUUCAUUGUUCUCCAUCUCAAUCUGCAUUAUAAACAACACAAAGUUCAUGGCAUCAUGAAGAGCACAAGGUUCAAAGGUUGAUCUGCAUUAAAACCUAUUGUCCAAAGCCCCUAUAUUUACCCACCCCGAUAAUCACUACUUGCCCACAACCGCACUCAGUUAACCCUAUCUCAUUUUGUCUCUCACUCUUUCUCCUAUCAUCGCCAUGAACUCCAACUCCAACCUUAACCCCUUCCCUUGGGGCAUUGGAUGGAGGGCUUUCUUCCUCGGGUGCUUGCUCGGUGACCGCAACCAAGUUUGAGAGCACCAUGGAAGUGUGCUAGAACUUCAGUAGCAUCGAAGACAUGCACAAGGAGGCACACGAUGUGGUGAAGAAGGCAACAACGGAGGAGUUGAAGACGCUGAUUCCUGACCCAGCAAAGGGCGCUAUGUCAGUCGAAAUCCUUCGUUGGGCCAUGAAUCAUGCCGACUCCAGCGACACUGUACAGAGGGAAAGGUGGUCCAAGUGCAGGGAGUACAGGGCUCCUCAUGACCAGCGUGCUGCAGCGUAUUGGAAUAGGAUUUUGGUGGUGCCGGAGGUCAUCGGUUUGGAGCCGGAGGAGGAAGAAGAGGUGGAAAUGGUUGUCAGGGCACCGGAGCUAGGCCACCGUACUUUGCCAAUCGGUCUGGACUCCUGCGACAAUGACAAGACGAUGGUCUGGCCAGAGGACAAAACAAGGCCAAGGGCACCCGCUGCUCCAACCGCCUCCAGGGUCGCCGGGGCUAAGAUUUGAAACUACUGUGUAAGAUUAACCCCCAAUCCCCAUUCCCCUUGUACCCAAUCUGGAUCGGAACCCUAAAAUCCAUCGCUACUAGGAACUCAUGAUGAUGUUAUGAUCAGUUCUAUGGAUAUUUACCCCGAUUCCCCAUUCGCCUAGAACACGGAUGGACGCGAAAUAGUAUGUGAGGAGGUGAAAGUAGUGCUUACCGCCAUUGCGGAAGUGUUGCGGGUGAUGUUGCGGAUGCCGAUGGCCGCCUUGCUAUUCGUCGAUCCACUGAACGUCGUGAUGACUCACAAGUAUAGGGGAUCAAUCGUAGUCCUUUCGAUAAGUAAGAGUGUCGAACCCAACGAGGAGCAAAAGAAAAUGUCUAGCGGUUUCCACUAAGGUAUUUUCUGCAAGCACUGAAAUUAUUGGUAACGAGUAGUUUGAUAGCAAGAUAAUUUGCAACAGGCAAUAUGUAGUAACGGUAAUAAAAGUGCAGCAAGGCAGCCCAAUCCUUUUUGUAGCAAAGGACAGGCCAGCACUGUCUCUUAUAAUAAGCAAGGCGUUCUUGAGGACACACAUGAAUUUCAUCUAGUCACUUUCAUCAUGCUUGUUUGAUUCACGUUCGUUACUUUGAUAAUUUGAUAUGUGGGUGGACCGGUGCUUGGGUGUUAUUCUUACUUGAACAAGCGUCCCACUUAUGAUUACCCCAUCUCGCAAGCAUCCGCAACUACGAAAGAAGAAUUAAGAUAAAUCUAACCAUAGCAUGAAACGUCUGGAUCCAAAUCAGCCCCUUACGGAAUACCACAUAAAUUAGAGUUUAAGUUUCUACCACUCUAGCAACCCAUCAUCUAAUUACUACUCCAUAAUGCAUUCCUUUAGGCUCAAAGAUGAUGAAGUGUCAUGUAGUCGACGUUCACAUGACACCACUACUAGCAACAAAAGUAACUACUCACAAAUCAUAUUCAUGUUCAAGAUCAGAGGGGUAUUGAAUAUUAUUAAGGAUCUGAGCAUAUAAUCUUCCAUCAAAUAAACCAAUUAGCAUCAACUACUAGAUGUAAUCAAUAUUACUAGCAACCCACGGGUACCAAUAUGGAGUUUUGAUACAAAGACUGAAUACAAGAGAUGAACUAGGGUUUGAAAUGAGAUGGUGCUGGUGAAGAUGUUCAAGAAGAUUGGUCCUCCCAUGAUGAGAGGGUUGUUGGUGAUGAUGAUGACUUCGAUUUCCCAGUAUCCCCGGUGGAAUUGCUCGUCGGAGAGCAAAAGUGCUCCUGCCCAAGUUCCACCUCGAGACGGCGGUGCUCCGUCCCAAAAGUCUUCUGCUAAUUUUUUCUAGGGCAAAUGAGCUUAUAUACUAGAAGAUAGGCAUCGGAGGCUGGCUAGGGGGCCCCACGAGCCACUAGGGCACGCCCAGGGGGUGGGCGUGCCCUGGUGCCUCGUGGGCACCUGGGUGGCCUUCUCUGGUAUUUCUUUUCAACAAUAUUUUUUAUUUAUUCCAACACAAAUCUUCGUGAAAUUUCAACUCAUUUGGAGAUGUGCAGAAUAGGUAUCUCUGACAUGGCUUUUUCAGGUCUAGAAUUCCAGCUGCAGGCAAUCUCCCUCUUCAUGUAAAUCUUGCAAAUUAAGAGAGAAAAGGCAUUGGAAUUGCUCCACAAAGUGUUAUAUUGAUCAAAAACAUUAUAAAUAACCAUAGGAAAACAUGAUACAAAAUGGAUGUAUCACGCCGCCACCGCCGGUGAGAGUGGGAGAGUGAAGAGAGAGUGGUGCGGGAAGGUGAGGGUAAUUAUUGCCAGCGCUCUGGGAAGCAACGCGACUUCUCAAGUGUGGCUCCUCGCGUGCAGCCGCCGCCGCCCACGCGCAUCGCAAGGGCAUGGCUCUGGAAAAAUUGCCUAUUUGAGCGUUACCAGCAGGCCCGGCUGGGAGGUGCUUUGAGGUCCGUGCGAUGCAGGCCAAACAGUGAACGCAGGUAGGCAAACAACCCAUUUUUCUUCCGGCGCGGGCCUGGUUGCCCUCUAUGCGGGCUACCAAACACGCCCUCUAUGUUUUCCUACUAUUUUUUUCUUUUCUAAUUUUUCUUUUUUUUCUUUUCGUCUUUCUCUUCUUCCACGGUUUUUUCGGACAUUUUUUUAUUUCCUCUUUUUUUAAUUAAUGAAUAUUUUUAAAUUUUUUGAACAUUUUCAUUAAUGUCAGUAAUAUUUUUCAAUUCUUUUGAACACCUUUUAAUCUGCAAAUAAAAUUUUCAAAUUUGAGUACAUUAUUAAAAUUCAUCAUCAUUUUUUUACAAAUUGAAUUUUUAUAAAAAAUCAUGGACAUUUUCGAAAUUUGUGAGAUUUUAAAAUUCCCGAACAUUUUGCGUUGCGAUGGCAUCCACCGUUAUCGAGUUUGUAGGUGUGGAGUGGUGGCUUUAGGUUGUGUAAUGCAUAUUUUUGCAAGAGCUUUGUUGAAAAAUUUAAUAAAGAUGAUUGUGUGCAUCUUUUGAUGAAGAGGCCCGAAGUUUCAACUUCCUUUUCUAAAAAAAUGAACAUUUGUCAUAUAACCGAUCCACUAAUUUCUUGUUUAAAUUUGUUCGUCUUCUGCUCCAGUGGAAGACUCUCGCUAAGGCCGUGGACACUGAUGCUUUUUUUUAAGAUCAUCUUCAAGAUCCGCAAUCUGUUAUCGCCUUAUGUCCUAUAAUUACUCACCUGGGGAUAUUUUCUUUACAUGAUAUCCUUGGCCUGCGCGCCUCGUAAGUGUUACAUAAACUUGCUUUCACGUCUGGGUUGUACUAACGUUGUUGGAUCUCUGUCAUGUUGGCUUUAUUUAUAGAAUCGGGCUUUCAACUGUAUCCUAAAAAAAAUCUCAGUGGAUAUACGGAGCACAUGACGUUAAACACCAAGAAGAUGGCGCUGCUUUCUUUUGAAAAUGUUUAAGCUUAUCUAAUUUUUAUUUUGAACAAAUAAGCUUAUCUAAUUAGGUAGGGUAGCCCUUUUCGCAACUAGUAUAAUGUGGAGGUAGAGGGUGACGCCAGCCCACCAUCACCGGAUCACGCAUUUGCCAAAUUCAUCCACUAUCGUGGAAGCUUUAGCAUUUCCCUUUCCAGUGACGAUGAUCCAACAGCAUGUGCCGCCGCUUGUAAUGUAUACGAGAUGCGCGCAUGAGAGCACCCCACAUUUGUUCACAUCGUGUUUGACCCUGCGCCUUCUGACUUCUCAUCUCUCUGAACCUUCUUCAGCUUAUCAACUUGCACAACCCCUUCAUCCAACGCAGACCAAUUAAUCGAGUCACAUCACAUGCACUGUACACUGUCCAAUUAAUCGCCCGCCGGCGAUCCGUCGCCGUCCACCUAUCGAUUUGCUCUCCAUUCGGUCACUUCUUUGAUCAUCCUUCCGGCCGCGUCCUUCUCGGCAACCAUAAAUACCCUACAUCCAUGAGUAACAGCUCGCUAAACCGAUUGUAACACCAAUGGCCGCGCCCUCCCUUCACACGUAUCUCCUCCUCUUCUGCAACGCGAUCGCGCUGCUGCUCGUGGUCGUGCCCCCGUGCGCGGGGCUCGGGCUCGACACGGUGAGGGGCUUCCUCACCAGGGAGGAGGACACCGUCGUCUUCAGCCUCAUCGAGCGGGCCAAGCACCCGCUGAACCUGCCGGCCUACGACGAUCGCCCGUCCUUCGGCCCCGCCGGCCGCCAUGGCCGCCGCAACGGCUCCUUCGUCGAGCUCUUCGUCCGGGAGUCCGAGCAGAUCCAGGCCAAGGUGUGGUAGUCCGAUCGUUCGUUCUCGAUGGCAUCCAUGCAUGCAUUCAUGCAUGAUGCGAUUCUCCUUCCCUCUCUUGUUCUCUUUCUUUGACUCUGCUACCUGGUAGCUGGUAGCUUUCAGUUCUUCUCUUUUCAACGCUCACUUGUCAAUUGUUAUGGCCCGAGGACGACCUCUGCUGUAGUUAUGUCUAAGAUGUUUUGACUUGAGCGUCUGAAAACUACUGUCAGACGUUACAUGCUCCCGGGAAGGUGUUGACUGAACGUGAUAACUAAUACGCCCUCUGGUUCAAAAUAUAAUCAUAUUUUAUGAAAAAAAAAACUGCUAAUAUCAAUUUAACAUUGUUCAUGCUUGUAAUAUCUUGUAUAAUAAUGGCGGUCAAACUUAAAAAUGCUUGAUUGACGGAAACUCUAAACCGGACCGAGUAUAUAUAUUGCAAAACCAGGCACUCCUUCCAAUCAAUAUUAUUUGUCGCAGCUUUAGUACAACUUUAAUAAUUCAAAGAAAGUAGUUAGUUACUUUAAGCAUCAAUAUUACUUGUCGCGGUUUUAGUACAACUUUAGUAAUUCGGAGAAAGUAGUUAGUUACUUUAAGCAUCAAUAUUACUGGUUGCAGUUUUAGUACAACUUUAGUAAUUCGGAGGAAGUAGUUAGUUACUUUAAGCAUCAAUAUUACUUGUUGCAGUUUUAGUACAACUUUAGUAAUUCGGAGGAAGUAGUUAGUUACUUUAAGCAUCAAUAUUACUUGUCUCGGUUUUAGUACAAGUUUAGUAAUUCGGAGGAAGUAGUUAGUUACUUUAAGCAUCAAUAUUAUUUGUCGCAAUUUUAGUACAAGUUUAGUAAUUCGGAGGAAGUAGUUAGUUACUUUAAGCAUCAAUAUUAUUUGUCGCAGUUUUAGUACAACUUUAGUAAUUUGGAGAAAGUAGUUGGUUACUUUAAGCAAAGAAGACAAAGCGUAAGUAUAUAUUGCAUUGGAUUCGAUUCACAGCAAAGCUAGACCACACUCCGGGUCUUAUUUUCUAAAUGAAGACACGUUACCGUUGUGCUAGUGCUACGACUGCAGUACUUAAGCAACCUCACAGGUAACAAACCUGACGAGCUGUGGAACGUUUUGUGCAGGCAGGAAGGUACCAAAGCCAGCAGGAGGUCCCUUUCUUCCAAUCCAGAGUGCCCUUCACGCUGGCGCCUCCAUACAACUUCACCACCGUAAGCUUCCACUCCAUGCAUCUUCCAUUGCCCAACAAUGAACAAACUCUGUCGCCGUCUUACCGUAACCUCGUGCUGACGAAAUUCAAUCCAGGAUCUGCAUCCCGGAGCGGCGUCCGUGAACGCGAACGACGCCAUAUGGGGCAUGUAUUUCAGCGAGCUGCUCCCUCUGCUGGCCAACAAUGGCAGCGAGGAUGGCAACUACGCUGUGACCGCCGCAUCGGAUCUCGCGUGCCUGCAGGUGAUAUGGAACGCCACAUUGCAUGCUUUUCUAUAUAUACCCCAAAUGCGCGUGGUGAUAUUGUGUUUGUCAUCCUUCUCGCAGGCGCUCUCGAGGAGGAUCAACUACGGGAGGUACGUGGCAGAAGUGAAGUUCAGAGGAGACCAGCAAAGAUACACAGAUUUGAUUCGUUCAAAGGUACAUGCUUCAUCGAUCAUUUCAUCUCAUCGCCCAACAGUGAAACCAGUGUUGACAUGAUCAUCUAGUAUAACUGAUCUUUUUAAGAUGAUCAUAAAUGGUCACCAGAAUGCAUGGUCUAUGUAAUAAGCAAAGUAAAAUCUCUCGAUUUUUAUGCAGGACAAGGAUGCUCUGAUGAAACUGCUGACAUCUGAAGCCCAAGAGGAUGUGGUGAAGAGGAGGGUGGAGAAGAAGGCCAUGGUGUUCGGCCAAGAUGUGACCUUGGACGGACCAACUGAAACUGGUGACGACGCCAGCAGCCAAUCCAGUUUCAAAGUCGCCCCUUCGGUGGUUUACGAGUUGUAUGACCGAUGGGUGAUCCCCUUGACAAAACAAGUGGAGGUCGAGUACCUUCUCCAUCGUCUCGAUUGAGCCGAGCCGAGACUCUUAUCUUAGCAAAGCUAACCUAAUUUGUUCACAAUUGUACACACUUUGUAUUGUCAGUACAUAAUUAUCAUGUGAAGGGAGACAAACACAAUAAGAAACAUGCAUAUUUGUGAAGCUCGCGAUCUGUUCAGAAUGUUCCAACAGAGUGGAUUGAUGACAGUUAAAGCUAGCAAAACAAUGGGCAAAAUAUGCUUUGCAUCUCUCAUGUGCAAAGUACCAAAUGGCUCCAUAUGAGCUUCUCUCGGCACAAACAGCUAACCGUUGCCAAGUUCUAGAAUUGAGUCUACCAAGCCCAGGCCAACCGCUCUCAUAUAAGUUAGCCCCAAAAUAGAAG